This 54087-nucleotide long non-coding RNA is filed under the name Coffea arabica (coffee). Its description in RNAcentral is "long non-coding RNA (CARA_LNC006562)". Lineage: Eukaryota; Viridiplantae; Streptophyta; Magnoliopsida; Gentianales; Rubiaceae. The record is from RNAcentral.
CCUGUGAUUAGUGAUUCAGGAUAUGUUGCUGCAUAGCGCUUGUUAUGUUUCUUGCUUUCUUUUGUUUUACCAUAAAACUUGUCGAGAAGUUUUGUACUAAUUCUGGUUGAUUGGUUACAGCACAUAAUUUGUUAUGAAUUCCUAUAAUAGAUUCUAUUGACAAAAGAAGGGUUGUCAUUUGUGAUUAAAUGAAACUUUACGGGAAAUGUAACUCUUAAUGAAAAUACAUGCAUGGCUGUAAAGCUUAAUAUUAAGUUUCAAUGCACGUGUAUUCCUUUUAUGUUUAGUUACUAAUACAAGAUGGGUAGAAUUACUCCCGGUGCUAUCAAUGUACAAUCUAAUUCAAAUGAUUCUGCACGAUAUAGAAAAAUAACUUUACAUUACAAAAUCUGUGAAAAGUGCAGGAGUUAUGUUGACACCAUAAGAUAGUGUAUAUAUCUAUCACAGAAAAUUUGAGAAGGGAAAGGAAGAUCGUAGAUUAUUUCACACGUUUGCUAUAGAGUUAAUACCAUCUAUGCUGUUCAAAAAAUGCUGGCACCCUUUUUCUACUUUCAUAAAUGAUGUCUUUUUUACUACUGUUUUUGAGCUACAAAGCAAGCAUUUAACUUGUGUGGAACUGUCCAUGUGAUGCCAUAUGUACUGGUAGGUGUGGUCGUAAUUUUUGCUAUUUAGACAGCAGUGAACUAGUUCUGUUGACAGAACAAUUAUUCACACUAAAUAGGUGCAAGCCCUUGGUAGAGAUGUGCCGCAGUUUUGGGUAUUGCUUCAAAGUAGAUUAUAAGCAAGAGUCGUUAUGUCUAUUUUUCUUGGAUGUAUAAUGUCAUGUGCUGCAGCCUAUUUAUUUCUUUGUAAUUUGGGAUACUUAUCAGGUUGAAGUCCCCAAAAACCGUGGGAAUAAGAAAAUGCAACGUUAUUAUUUCAGAUCAACAUCCACAAUGAUUGUCCGAAUAUGGUCUUCCUGGCUUGUGCACCAAACACCUGAGCCAUUUGAUUUUGCUCCCACUGGUGUCGAUAAGCUCCACCUUGACUUACCAGAUGAACGAUUUAUGGAAUUUGUUCCAAACUUUGAUGUAAUUGUUCUUUCUUCUGGGCAUUGGUUUGCCAAGAAGUCUGUCUAUAUCUUGAACAACGAGAUUGUUGGUGGACAAUUGUGGUGGCCAGACAAGUCUAGACAAAUGAAGGUCAACAAUGUUGAUGCUUUUGGAAUCUCUGUUGAGACUAUCCUAACUGCAAUGCUUAAGCAUCCAAAUUAUACUGGUUUAACAAUCUUGCGUUCCUUUUCACCUGAUCAUUAUGAAGGUGGAGCCUGGAAUACUGGAGGCUCAUGCACAGGGAAGGAAAAACCAGCUGUGGACAAAGAUUUAGUAGAAAAUGGCUUUACCAAUAUAAUGCAUGAGAAACAGGUGGCAGGAUUUAACAAGGCAAUCAAAAAGCAGACAAACAAAUCAAAAGCAAUAUUGAUGGACAUUACGAAAGCCUUUAGCUACCGUCAUGAUGGGCAUCCAGGUCCUUAUCGGAGCCCUGACCCAAAUAAAAUCACAAAACGAGGACCAGAUGGCAGGCCUCCACCACAGGAUUGCUUGCAUUGGUGCAUGCCUGGCCCAGUUGACACAUGGAAUGAACUGGUAUUUGAAAUCAUAAGAAGAGAAUUUGUGGCCAAAAAAAGUAAUCCUUCAUGAUAAAUUUCUCAUAUUUCUUUUAGGAGCAUGCCAUUGCUUGCUAACAGAGAUUGUACUUUCUUAUGAAAAAAUUUGUAGGUCAUGUUGGGUAUCAGAGCUUUGUAGGCUUCAUUCCAGAUUUUGAUUUUUCAUUGAUCUUAUUGUAAUAGGCACUAGUUAGAAGAUUAUGAACUGUCUUUUUGUUAUAGGAAAAUGCUGCUGUCAUAGACACCUAUUUUCAUAAAUUAUUACUUUUCUGUAAGUGCAACUAUGAUUAAUACGUCUUAAAAGCAUCUUCUUUAUAAAGUUUACUGACUUUGCCAUCUGAAAGGAACUUGUGAGUAAAAUACUUCAUUUACAAAGGAUUCCUUUUUUGUUAUUGCUGUUCCCUUUUUCCUUUUUUCUUUUUUUUUAAAUAAUUAGUCAUGUAUUUCUUUGGGGCAAGGGGUUGGCUGUUGGCCUGAAGGAGGGGCUUCUCAGUGCCCAUAGAGUUUCCAUGGCUCAUAAUUGAGAAAUUACAUCUUUUCAAGUUAUGAAGUGGUAAAUGUUAUAAGCACUCAAGUAUUGUGUAAAUCAGUUGAUUCUUUAAUUGCUUCGCAUCCUAAAAACAAAAAGAAUAAUGUUUGACUUUCUAUAUUUAUCCAUCUUUAAAUAUGGAUAUGUAGAGAUGUUCGUAAUUGCACAACUAUGAUUGCAAUCCAUUUUAGAUAGAUAGAAGUACAGCAUCCAAAUACCAGGUAAGUUGUCUCGUGCAUAAGUUCUCUGUGCUUUCCUUGCUGUGCUAACACAUCCAUGCAGGUAAUUUGUGUGUAAAGUACUUGUAUAUUCUUACAAUGAUGAUUCAAAAGCUCAUGUAUUAGUUCUUCCCUGGGCUUUGUUCUCAGUGGAUGAGAUCUGCUGAAUGAAGAUGAGACUGCAACGUGGCAGCACCAUUGCCUUUAAGAGCAGGCUAGGUAGAAUUGAUGCAAUUUUUUGGUAGCUAAUUCAUUACAUCUAUGCAUUUUUUGGAUGUUUUCUCAACUAGAGAUGAGAUGCUUAUUGCAAUUAUGCUGAUGAUUGAGGUUCUACUCUGACUGUGCUUUUCAUUUUUGCAUUGUUUGUUUGUUAUGUAUACCUGAUUUAGUUAAUUGUUUAUUAGGUGAAGUUUGUUUAUUAAAUUACAAGUCUAGAAUUUGUUGAUUUCUUUCUUUUCCACAUCUAAGCAAGCAAAAUCAUUUCCACCACCUAUGUUUUGUGAUUCUGUAAUAUCAAACUAAAUGGAGGAAAUGGGAGUUAACUAAAAAGCUUUACAUGCUCAUCUGAAUGGUAAGUUUCUUGAUUUCCUUUGUUCUAUAUUGAUCUCUGGUGUGUAAUUCUUAUUGCCUUAAACUUACUAACUUCUUUUGUACCCCUUUAGAUAUGAGAAUCUUUCUUUUAAUACUCGAUUAUGGUCAACUGUUGGUAGGUAUUUCUCCUAUUAUAGUUAAUUUUUUUCCCAAUCUCUGUUUCAUCAGCCAGGUUGAGAAGCAGUUGGAAAGUUGCUUUCUUUUCUAUUUUUUUAUGGUAGUUAAGCAAAUAUGUAUAUUAUUUCAGUAAAUAAUUUUUUUUUAUGUGUAUGUAUGGAAUCACAAUUUAUUCUUUUGACCGCUGGAAUCAACUCAAUUGGGUAAAAUCCAUGCAACCUCCAUUUGGUUAUUACAAAACCAUUGCUUUCCUUGACUCAAUGCUUAACACAUGAAAAAGUACAUUUUCAUUAUGUCUCAGCUUACACUUUUAGGGUUAAGAUGCUUGUGAAAAGCUUCUAGGAUACUAUUGUCCAAAUUAGUGCUCAAAUGUUGGCUUACAGUUCAUUUAAUUCUAAUUCAUCUGGCUGGGUGUUAGGCAGUGUGAGAUGAGCUAAAGUUAUUCGCUGCAGGGGGUUAAGGAAGACUCAAGUGUCACGUAAUGCCUUGCUGCUAUGAGUAAUAACACUUCAUUGCUUCAGCUGUUUAUCAGUGUCAGAUGAACGGAUAUUUUUUACCUCUGGGGUUUAAGGAACAUACACAGUAUAAUGCAUUCAAACAACUAAAAUGCAGCAGUAAUUCACCCUGUACCAUGAGAACUAUGACGGCCCCACCUCCCCCUUAGGCGAACCAAAGGGUUCGGCAGACCGCCUGCCAGGCUCUCGGCGGGACUCACUCACUACAAAUCUCAAUUCAAUUACAAUAUAAAUUUUAAAUAUACAUCAAAUUCUCCAAUAAUUAUAUGUCAUAAGCGAAGCGUCCACGCUUCCGCUAUGCCACUCUGAUCCUUGAUACCAGCUAUUAUACAGGAGAAAUUUCAAAUCUAAACUGUACAAAAUAUAGGCCAUCCAGUCACGUGAAUAAGUAUUACAAGUCCUUCCUUCGCCACGAGCCCUGUGGAGGGGAAUAAAAUAGUUUUGAGGUGAGGUAAAAGCUCAGUGAGUAACCAGCAAAAUCAGUAAACAAAUAUAUUUCAAGAUAAUGCACUUCAAUGAUGUCAUGAAUCAAGGAUCAAAUGUACGUUUAUCGCUCUCGUGAGCCAGUGAAAUCAUUGCACUUAAACACCCACCGCUCAAAAAGAUUAUUUAACGAUAAACAAUAAGGGGGAUGUCGCGCCCCACUUUUUGAAAUGUGUUGUGUGAAUGUGAGUGAUGCGUGUGCAAAAUGAAAAGUAAAAAGGCCAUGGGACUUUGGAAAGCGACGAUUUGGCCAAAUGAAAUUUUAAAAAGGGUUUUUUAAAUAUGAAAAUGGAGUCGCCACUUGGUAUAGAUUUGGGGUGUACCAAGUCACCCAAAAAGUAUUUUUAAAGACAAAGUAGUGAAAACCCUUUUUAAAACGACUCCUAGUCCACGUAAACCAAAGAAAAAGGUUCGGGGGUCACGUUUGACAAAGGGGAAGGCAAGGAUAGAAUCCAAGGCACCCCUUUGACCUAGCCAAGGCUAGUUGCGCGACUCAAACCAAUUUUUCCUAAUUUUUCUACCCAAGGUAUGUAUCGCGUAUUGGAUAUGUCUAUAUGAAUGCGAAAACCUAGACCUAGGGGGACAUGGGGGAAAUUUCUCUUCAAAGGUUGAGUGGUGCCAAUCACAUUAAUUGUGAAGCACAAUAAUGAUCCUUUUGGAGAGGUCACACCUAAACCUAAAUGACGUAAAAAAUGAGUGGAAUGCAUGCCAUGUGAAAGUGUGAGUUUGUGUGAAGUGGGAAGAUUGAUAAAAUACGAUACAAGUGGAGGUGUGCAAAUGUCUUUGAAUGCAAAUAUAUAUACUCCAAGUGCAAGUGGGCAAAAAAUGCAUGUAUGCAAUUUAAAGAAAAGUGCGAAAGUGUCGGUGUGCAAAUGAAGAUGAAAGUACUCGUGUGCGAGUGAAGAUAAGAGUGUUCGUGUGCAAAUAAAAGUGAUAAAAGGGUGCAUGUGUGCAAAUGAGACAAAAGUGAAAGUGUAAUGAUAGAGUGGAUUGAGAAUGCAUGAGCUUAGGGAAUUUAUGCAUAUUGGGUACGGGGAGGCCUAAAUCGUGACUCAAUUUGCCCUUUGAUAGAGGGAAUACAAGCGUGCUAAGGCUUAGAAAAAGCCACACUCGUCUAUAUCCCAUAUUUAAGGGGACUCUUCAGGCAAAUGUACCCUAACUAGCAUGAGAUGCAAAGAAUCCUAAAAUGAGGGAAAAGGGGCUCGAGGAGCAUGCCAAAUGAUAAAAUUAAGAAAAAUGCAUGACAUGUAGUGAACAUGCAAAUAUGCACUAACAAAAAGGGAUGGCCUAAUGAGCCACAACUAGCAUUGGACUAGUGUGGUGACGUACAUUCAUCCAUUCCAUUCAUUCAUGGUUAUGAAAGCAAGUAGACAUGCCAAAACGCUCGUAAACACGUAGCACGUAGCACUUAGCAUGCUCGACUAGAUGCAAGAGCCUACUAAAGCAAUUAAACAUGUAGCAACAAAAACAAGCAACCAAGGGGAAGGGGAAAUGGACCAGAUGCUCUACGAGCCCUAGCUAUUACAAGCCAAGAGGUGUACACAUACCCCAUGAAAACAUAAAGGGAAAGGGUGAAUGGACCAGAUGCUCUCCGAGCCCUAUCUAUUACAAGCCAAGAGGUGUACACAUACCCCAUGGAAGCAUAAAGGGGAAGGGGAAAUGGACCAGAUGCUCUCCGAGCCCUAUCUAUUACAAGCCAAGAGGUGUACACAUACCCCAUAAAACUUAAAUAAAAGUAAAAACAAGCAAAUGCAGGCAAGGAGGUAAGGAAAGCGGAGUAGGCAUGCAUAUUCACAUAACACGUAGGAGCACGUAAGGCUAAAUGUAGUGCAAAUGAGGGAUAGAGUGUACCUCCCUUGAAUUGACGCCCCAAUGAAGUGGAAUUAUUCAAUUACCCUCCAAAAUAAAAGAAAUGGUCAAGGUACCAAUUUAUUUGGGAAAAUUAAAGGAAAUAGGCAAUCACAAGCUCACUUGAUCGUAAAGUCCCUAAAGUCAUGACUUAAGCGCAAUUGAAACAAAGCAUGGUAAUUAAUUGAAGCAAACAAGCAAUGAGAUUGCACAAAUUAAAACUGCCAAGGACCAAAAUGAAGAGAUUAUUCAAUUGGUUGGGUCAUGGUGAAACUAAAGGGAACUUGGGGGGUUAAGGUGCAAUUUUUGAAAACAUUUUCCAUGCAAGUUCAUGCAACUGACGCAACUUGUUCUUUUCUGCAAAUUUUCCAGCCAACAUUUUCUGCAAUCUUUUCCAUUUAGCCUUACCAAACUUGAGUGCAACUUAACUCAAAACAAUCCAAUGGAUUCCACAACUCAACUUGAGUGCAAUAGAGUACCAUGAUCAUUUGCUAAGCCUCGAUCAAAUUUCCAAGAAGACAAACUCAAAAACAAGAUAAAGAAAACUGAAAACUUCCUACACGCAUGCUUUGUAGAAAGAAAAUAGCAGCUAUAAUCUCUCGCAGCCCAAAAUCUUUCAACAAUCUAUUCAACAAUCUCCAGGACUACACCAAAACACAAGGAAGGUAACUACUGGAGCAAAUGAACAAACAAGAGAAAGAUAAGCCACAAAUAUUGAAAACAUUUCUGCAUUCUUCAGUUGCAGCUUCAUGUAAAAACUCGGCAAAUAAUACUCAUAUACAGCUUUGGAACUACUGUAAUCAAAAGCAACGGGUAACAUGUCUUAAUCAAUGCAACUGGCGGGAGAAAACACAUAUAAGCUCCAUGCAAAUUUCGAACAGCUUUUGCAAUAAAACUUUCAACAAAAUCUGAAGCUUUCAACAAAGUCCUGCUGUAUAUUUACGGCACUAAAAUACACGGAUGAAUAACUCUAACAUGCACAAACCAUUGUUUAUUACCCCAAACACAGACAUUGCCAAACAUCAUUUUUGACAUUACUAAAACAUGGCAGCCUAUCUUUAGCCAACCCAACCGAGAACAAUAAAGAAAAUGCAGCAAAAGAAACUCAGUCGUGAAUCAUGCAUUGCCCAGAAUUCUCCAACCAGAUUGUGCACCAAGACAACCAAAAGAACAGUCAUGAACUCUAAUGAAACAUGUAAAUCCGUCAAUUAACUUCUCAUGGACUUUAUUUUCACAAUCCCAAAGCCAAACUUUAAACACAGAAAGGGCCAUAGUCAAGAAAACAUCUAAAAAUGAGCAUGAAGAAAACCCAUUAGCAAAAACUCAAGAUUCAUGUCUAACAAAUCGGAAUCUUCAUGAAAUGCGUAUAAAAAUAACAAAACGGGAAGCAAGGGUUACCUCCGUAUGUUCAUGGGGCCAAAGCAACGCGAGCAAUCUGAAGACAUGCGUUCGAACGAAAGGUUUGAAGCUGCAAAUGGCUGAGAUUUGCCUUUUCGGCGAAAAUUCUGCACUUUUCUUUCAGUCUUCCUCUUUUGCUUCUUGCACUGCCCGAAAUUCCUUCUCCAAGUUCCAGAUUUCAGCCGCAGCUCCCUUCUCGGUUUUCCUCAACUUUUUCCAGCUCUCUUCCUGGAUGUCGCUGUCAUGGUCGUGGUCUUCAUCAGGUUUGGUGAGGGCAGGAGCCGUGGUGUUGAGGACAUCGUCUUCAGCUUCAGCUUCGGCUUCUGCUAACCGCUGCAGUAAUUGACUCAGAGCGAGAAACAGCAGCUUGGGUGGUUGCGCCAGUUGGUGGCUUCUUCUGAGCAGUCGCUGCAGCUGUUGCGGCGGAGGAAGAGGUCGAUGACGAUGACGAUGACGAGGAGGCGAGAUUCGAGUUCAGACGGCUGUUUCCCUUUUCUGUUCGGGUGUUGCCUUCCCAAAACCCUUCUAAAACCUCUCUGUUUCCACUCUUCAGACCCUAGCCCAGAUUUCUCUCCCUUCUGAUUUCUAGCCGGCCGUCACUCUAUCCCCCUCUGUUUUUUUUCUCUUGCUUCACUUUCUAUCUUAAACCCUCGCUGUUACCUUCACCCUCAGUUUUUCUCCUUGCCCGUCAACUCUUUCUGUUUUGUUUUGCCUGAAACCCUUCAAUCUUUCUCCCUCUUUGCGGCUGUUUCCUCCCUGGUUUCUAUCCAAUGCUACGUCACUCUCUUUCUGUUUUGUUUUGCCUGAAACCCUUCCCCCAAAACUCCUCCUUUGUUUUUUCUUUUUGCUCUUCUUUUGCUCGAUGCCCUCUCUCCCGUUGCGGCUGCUGCUGCAUCUUCUAUUUAUAUGGGGCCACCCCAACCCUAAAACUCCCAUUGUCUCCUCUAAAAUUGCAGCCAAGGGCUGCCCGAGCCCUUACUUGCAAGCUGCGUUUGUAAAAACGCAGCUUGCCAUCGCGUAUUCCCUUUUUUUUUUUUUUUUUUUUUAAAGUAAUUAAAAUUGAUAAUAGUAAAAAUAAAUAACAAAAACAAUUUAAUUAACAUUGGAUGAAAAAUAAACUAGAAACAACAAAGUGCAAAUUCCAAUUCAUCAUCUUUUCAUUUUCCAUUUUUCCUUUUUUUCUUUAAAUAAUGAAACUAAAUCCUAAACAACUAAAACAUAUUUUUUUUGAACACUUUUCUUUUUCCUUUGAGAAAUUCUAGCUAAAAAUGGAUAAAAAUGACUAAAACUAAAAGUAAAUAAACUAAAUGUGACAAUUAAAAAUAGAACAAAUAAAAACGAAUAGUAAAUAAAUAAAUAAAUAAUAAAACACCAAAAAUUUGGUGUCUACAGUUUGCCCCUCUUUGUCUGAGUUUUGAAAAAACUUGAGACAAAGAAGUAGACACCAAAUACUUACCUGUGUUAUUUGGUUGCCCCUUUUCGGAGGACUGACCUAACAAGGAAUUUCAGACAUGGGACUGGCCCGAACAGAAUUGUAAACGGGAUAGACCCGGACAGAAAUUUAAAUGGGAUAGACCCACGGGAUAGACCCGGACAGAAAUUUAAAAUUGGGAUAGACCCACGGGAUAGACCCGGACAGAAAUGUAAAAUUGGGAUAGACCCACGGGAUAGACCCGGACAGAAAUUUAAAAUUGGAUUGUAUGAAGAAAACUGCAUAAGACUUUAUUUGAAAAUGUAUCCACAGAUUUGCCCCAGUAAUGAAUUGGUCAGUGGGAUUAAACCCGAACCUGCCAUGAUGAUCGACCAGUGGGAUAAUACCUGAUCCUGCCGAGGUUGGCGGGAUGAAACCCGGUCCCAACGAAAAAAGCGGUCAGCGGGAUUAUACCCGGUCCUGCCGAGAUUGGCGGUCAGCGGGAUAAAACCCGGUCCUGCCGAGGUAAGCGGUCAGCGGGAUAAAACCCGGUCCUGCCGAGGUAAGCGGUCAGCGGGAUAAAACCCGGUCCUGCCGAGAUAAGCGGUCAGCGGGAUAAAACCCGGUCCCAACGUGCUUUUGCGAAUGGUCAGUGGGAUAAAACCCAAUCCUGCCAUCCAAUUGGUCAAGAAAUUGAAUUGGAUUUGCCAAGAAACAAGCAAUUAAAUUUGAUUUUCCAAGAAACAAGAAUUUGAACUUGAUUUUUGACUUUUGACGUUUUGAAUUUUUCUGAUUUUUCGAGAGAAUCAUUUUUCAAAAAUAAUUUGCCCCAGUGUAGGGCCCUUUUCCCUUCUUUUCUCUUUCUUCGGCAUCGGCUUUCCACAUCACCAGAUGUUCUUUCGUUGAUUUCAACAAUGAAUACCUGCACAGGGGGCUUACCAAAAUAUGACAUGCAUUCACAUUUUCAUGAAAAGAGCAGCGUGAUUGAUUUGAAAGAUGCAUUAUUUGAUUCUUGGGCGAAAUCCUCAAUUGGACUAACAAAAAUAUUUGCCCCUGUGUGGGCUUGUUUUCACGAAAUCUCAUAACAAAAGUUUUGCCCCAGUAUGGGCCAUUUAAUUGCAAAAACUUGUCUGGAUGACUUUCCAUUUAUUUGAACAUUGUAAGAAACUAUGUUUCCUAAAAGAAAAUUUCAUGAUGAUUUUCUUGAAAUAAAAUCAGAUCACAGAAGAUUUCUUCCUCACCUUGGCAUUGGUGUUUUGGGUAAUGGGUCACAAUUUCCAGUUGGUUCAUCUUUCAGAACCGAUCAAGUGGGUGUUAUUUCUGAUUUGGAAAUGGGAGGUCAAGAUUUGUCUUAUCCAUGUGUACAGAUGGUAUGUAAUCCCUUCAAUACCAUAUCUUAGUGAAAGCAAAGAGUUUGUCACCCUCAUGUCUUAAGAAAACUUAGUCAACGUAUAAGCUUCAUGGGCUUGCAAAAUUUCGGGUAGAAAUGAUAGCUAAACAUGUAAAAAACUGGUUAUACCCUUAUGAUCACGAAUGAUUGACGGACUUCUUAUGAGCAUAUCCUUACUUUGGACUGUCAUGAAGGAAUAAGUCAACGAUGGACUUUAUUAGCUUGUAAUUUGGCUUGAAAACGAUAGCUAAAGAAUAAACUUCCAAGGACAUUGCACUGAAAAUCGUAUCUUCCAAAAACUGCCCCUAUUUUGAACUCAAAGAUCUCAGAAUUUGUUCGUAUUCUUUUCAUCAUUCACCAGGGAUUUCAGCGUCGAAUUUUUCUGCAUUUUCUUGCAUUUACUUUUCUUGCUUUGCUUUUUGCCUUUUCUUUUUCUGGUGGGUUUUCACAUGAUGAGUAGCGUCAACCCCAUACUCAGGCAAUUCAGAAAUACAGCUAAAAUUUUCAGCAUCAGAAAUUUUCUUGACAAGGCCAUUGCAAAGAACAGAAGUCAGGACUUUCGGCUUUGUAAUGGGGUCAGGUGGGGUGCUUAGAAAAGUUAAGGCUUGAAGGCAGGUUUCAAAAGCGGUUUAAGUAAUCUGAGAUCGCAUUGUUGUGGCAACCCUAUUUUAGGGUAAAAUCAGAAUUUGCCUCAGUUUUUGCUCAAUUGAGGCUUUUCACUUUCAUUUCCUUUUUCUUUUGACUUUUCGGCCUUUUGCCAUUCUUUUGAACUUUCACAAAAUUUUGCCUCCAGUUUAUUUUUGAACUGAAGUACUCUUUUCUUCUUUUGCUUUUGAUUUUGUUGCAUUUCACUUUUUCACUUCUUGAAACUUUCCUUUUUCAACCCAACGUGCCCCAGUGUGGGGUUUGCGAUUCUCAGGGGUUGCCAAAUGAAGUAUUUUAUUCUGAAGGCUCAAAAAGGAUAACUAGGGAUAGAAUGUUUGAUUGGAAAAAAAGAGGGCCUGACUUUUAUUCUGCCCUUACAAUGACUCUGAAAGGAAACUUUCAUUAAUGCGAAAUUUUUGGCAUGUAUUUGAAUUAACUGAUUGAGGAGGACCCUUGUUCAUCCAUAUGUGUGAAACAUAGGCGAUCCACGCGGACAAAACUCUUCCUUUUCUUUUUUCAAAAUUGGAACCCAAGUGGAAUCAAAUUUCCCCAACUUGCGGUUCUCUUUCCCCCUUUCUUUUCCCUUUUUUUUUCAAAAUUCCCCAAUCUCCUUCCCCAAUGUGGGGUGCGAUCAUAUAUGCACUCGAAAAAGAACCACCAAUUUUGCUCAAAUAGGGAUGCAAGGGAUGAUCAGUGUUUAGGUUGUAGAAACGACGGCCAAAGCGUCAUUCUUACACCUCAUGACAACCAAAGUAACGAAAUGGUCAUUAAGAAUCCAUUCCCCUUUUGAUAUUUGAAAAUUUUCCAAUGAAGGGUAGUGAUCAUUAGGGCUCUUAUUUGAAACGAAAUUAUUCUUUUAAAGGCUCAAAUGGGAGAGCAAAUGAUAAAAUGUGUAUAGGUAGAGAAACGAAUGCUCAAAGUAUCAUUCUAAAUUUUCAAAAUAAACAAGAAUGAUGCACAUUUUUGCUUUCACUUAGAUGUGAUUGAAUCGGAUUAGACACCGCGGAUAUUUUCAAGCAAAAGUUGCCCCAAUUUAUCAAUCAAUGUGACUGACUUUAUUUUGGGAUUAAGUGCAGGAGAAAAGGUAUCUCAUGGGCCUUCUGAAUGACCUCUUUCAAUUUUUGAGCACUCUUAUUGUGUAGCUCGGAUCACCAAUCUAGUGUAUACAUUUGUGAGUUUUCAGGCCAAAGGUUGAAAAAUCUCAAUUUGAGCUUAUUUCUUAAAAUUCACCAUGAAAUCUCUUAAUGAGCUCAAUAAAGAAUGAAAUGCACAUGAAUAUACACAAAACAAUAAUUGUCCAAAAAUUUUAUUGCUGAAAAAGUUUGAAACAAAAUUUCUCGUUCAAUUAUGAUACAAAUGAGAAUAGAAAGCUUCUAAAGAGCUCCACAUAUAUAUCCCUUUUGUCUCCUUCUCUUUUGACACAAAAAUAUAUUAACAAGUCAAAUACACAGAAUUUUCCUUGAAAGCAAUUAUGAAAUCUCUUAGAAGCUCUUAGCCUAGAGCUUUCAGAUGGAUCUUUCAUGUUUCCAUUGUUGGAUCUGCCCAAGAAUCAAACAAUACUUGCAAUUUUGACACUUUAUUAGAUCCAAAUUAUCAUCAGAUACAGAAAAAUAUUUUUGCCUUAUUGAAACAUUUUUAUGAAUGCAAGGGAAGGGAGAAAACAAAAGAAAGAAAAAACCAUGAGUUAGUAAACAAGAAUAUAAAAUCGGUAUGCAUGUCCUAUGGGGGAACCCUUUUAUGCCAAGGGUAGGCCUAGCAUGAAAAUGCAAUCCUCUAGAGCAGGCACUAUACAAUACCUGAUGGAUCCAAUCAGCUUAUGGAGUGAAAAAUAAUUUUGAAAAAAAUUGGCCCAUUGGAACGAGAAGAGACGUUUGUCAACAUGAGGACCUCGUCCGAAGGGAUUGAUCACUUUUGAUUGAUACAAGAACUUACAAAAACGCACGGGUUUGAUCUUGACGAACUUCCUAUUGAAGAGAUUGGAAUUCGUUUUGACAACUUUUCUCAGUGAAGCACGGGUCAAAACUCCAACUGAUCAAAUGGCUAGAUGCAAAGGAUGUUUUUCUCAAAAUCAACUAGGUUUUCCAUUUUGAAACUCGACAUUGAAACCCUAAUUGGUCAAAUGAAAUUGACAAUUUUAUUAAAAAUCGACUGGAUUACCCUAAAAAGGGAAACAGGUCAAAUGAAUUGAAUGAAAUUUAAUUUAUCCAAAAUUAAUCAGAUCACCCUAAAAAGGGUAAAUUGAUCAAAUAGAUUGAACGAAACUUGAUUUUUCCAAAAUCGGCUCGGUUGCCCGAAAAAUGGGUAAAUUGGCCAAAUGAAUGAAAUUGAAUUAGUGAUUUAUUCAAAAAUCGGCCGAAUGACCCUAAAAAGGGUAAAUUGGUCAAAUGAAUUGAUGAUUUAUUCAAAAAUCGACCAUGUGACCCUAAAAGGGUAAAUUGGUCAAAUGAAUUGAUGAUUUAUUGAAUGAAUUGGCAAAAUGGAUCGGUUGAAUUGUCCGGCCAUUGGUUAUUUCAAAAUUAUUGAGGUGCAUUGGUCUAUGACCUUCUAAAAAUCAAAUUUUGGCCUCAAUUUAUUUAUCGUCUCAAUAGGAGGAAUCAUUUGUGAAUUUCUUCAAAUUAAUGUCCUUCACGCAAGGGAUUUUUACCAAUUUUUGAUAAAAUGGCCAAAGAGUGAUUAUUAGAUGCUCAUAUUCCAAAGAUCACUCUAUGAAAAUGAUCGGAUCCUACCUUACCUUGUGCACUACCCCUUUGGAUGGUACAAAAUGUAAACGUGCAAGUCUCUUUGGAUUAAGUAUCCGAGACACAAGGUGGCUUAUUCCUAACACAGGAUCCCCUAAAUGGCAUUCCCUUUCUAGGGUUUAUGCGUGAUGCCAGUUUAUUAAAGCGAUAUAAAUAUGUGACAAAUAUGGCCUAAAGGAUAUAAAUAAUGCAACGGGGGAAAAGGUCUAAACAUGAAAUGUAUUUACUGAAAGGUAAGUGCAAAGACUGAAAUUUAGACAUGUGAGCUAUCUAGUGGAUGAGUCACUAAAAGAGUGCCAAAGAGGCCCCUUAUUGCUAUGGCACAUGAAUGCAGGCCAAGAAAACAAAAAAAAUGGUUAGUGCAGUUGAUAGUACACAUAACACAUUGUAACAACAAGAUAAAGCAAUCAAAGCAAUAAAAAGGAAAAAAAGGGUUGGACCCCUCCCCUCGUGAAUAGUGUCCCUAGCUUAGGAUAAGGCCGACUCUACCCUAGGCAAGCUAUCAUGGAUGCAUGAGGUUGGGGUUCACUAUGCAUCUAGACUCGAUGAGCUCAGGUCCCCGAGCCUUCAGACUUAGAAACCAAGGGUCACCAAUCCCAAGGUUCUUUGUCGGUGGCUCGAGCGAUUCCCCAAACACCGCUACGCACACAUCGUGUCACGGCUACGUGUUUGAGUGAAUCUAUCAAAACCUCAAUCUUCGACCAAAAGCUAAAGGCUAUCAACCAAUAGCUUUAAGCGGAAGAUUGAGUGACCCAUUGGAACAUGCUACACACACAUCGUGUCGUGAUCACAUGUCCAAGUGAGUCACCUAAUCCUAAUAGGGUGGAGUGGCGUGACAAGCCACUAAAGAAAAAUAAAAGGGAUAAAAGAAGUAAAGCGUAUGCUCGUAUGCUAGUGCUCGUUUGGAGGGGAAGGGUCAAGAACCAGCGCGAGGCUCUAGGGUGACCCAUACCUCCCAAAAUGCAAUGCAAGCGCGAGAUAACAAGUAAACACACAUCCAAUCAACCAAUCACACAUACGUGAGUGAGGGAAUAGUUGGAUACGCGCGCGAGGCAAAAAGGCCCUAAAAAUGGAAAAUGCAAGCCUAAUAUCCAAAUGCAAUGCAUAAAAAGGGUAGAAAAAGGAAACGAAUGGCUAAGUCAAAUGCUUGGACCCACUUAGGAAGUCCCCAGUGGAGUCGCCAACUGUCGCGCCCCACUUUUUGAAAUGUGUUGUGUGAAUGUGAGUGAUGCGUGUGCAAAAUGAAAAGUAAAAAGGCCAUGGGACUUUGGAAAGCGACGAUUUGGCCAAAUGAAAUUUUAAAAAGGGUUUUUUAAAUAUGAAAAUGGAGUCGCCACUUGGUAUAGAUUUGGGGUGUACCAAGUCACCCAAAAAGUAUUUUUAAAGACAAAGUAGUGAAAACCCUUUUUAAAACGACUCCUAGUCCACGUAAGCCAAAGAAAAAGGUUCGGGGGUCACGUUUGACAAAGGGGAAGGCAAGGAUAGAAUCCAAGGCACCCCUUUGACCUAGCCAAGGCUAGUUGCGCGACUCAAACCAAUUUUUCCUAAUUUUUCUACCCAAGGUAUGUAUCGCGUAUUGGAUAUGUCUAUAUGAAUGCGAAAACCUAGACCUAGGGGGACAUGGGGGAAAUUUCUCUUCAAAGGUUGAGUGGUGCCAAUCACAUUAAUUGUGAAGCCCAAUAAUGAUCCUUUUGGAGAGGUCACACCUAAACCUAAAUGACGUAAAAAAUGAGUGGAAUGCAUGCCAUGUGAAAGUGUGAGUUUGUGUGAAGUGGGAAGAUUGAUAAAAUACGAUACAAGUGGUGGUGUGCAAAUGUCUUUGAAUGCAAAUAUAUAUACUCCAAGUGCAAGUGGGCAAAAAAUGCAUGUAUGCAAUUUAAAGAAAAGUGCGAAAGUGUCGGUGUGCAAAUGAAGAUGAAAGUACUCGUGUGCGAGUGAAGAUAAGAGUGUUCGUGUGCAAAUAAAAGUGAUAAAAGGGUGCAUGUGUGCAAAUGAGACAAAAGUGAAAGUGUAAUGAUAGAGUGGAUUGAGAAUGCAUGAGCUUAGGGAAUUUAUGCAUAUUGGGUACGGGGAGGCCUAAAUCGUGACUCAAUUUGCCCUUUGAUAGAGGGAAUACAAGCGUGCUAAGGCUUAGAAAAAGCCACACUCGUCUAUAUCCCAUAUUUAAGGGGACUCUUCAGGCAAAUGUACCCUAACUAGCAUGAGAUGCAAAGAAUCCUAAAAUGAGGGAAAAGGGGCUCGAGGAGCAUGCCAAAUGAUAAAAUUAAGAAAAAUGCAUGACAUGUAGUGAACAUGCAAAUAUGCACUAACAAAAAGGGAUGGCCUAAUGAGCCACAACUAGCAUUGGACUAGUGUGGUGACGUACAUUCAUCCAUUCCAUUCAUUCAUGGUUAUGAAAGCAAGUAGACAUGCCAAAACGCUCGUAAACACGUAGCACGUAGCACUUAGCAUGCUCGACUAGAUGCAAGAGCCUACUAAAGCAAUUAAACAUGUAGCAACAAAAACAAGCAACCAAGGGGAAGGGGAAAUGGACCAGAUGCUCUACGAGCCCUAGCUAUUACAAGCCAAGAGGUGUACACAUACCCCAUGAAAACAUAAAGGGAAAGGGUGAAUGGACCAGAUGCUCUCCGAGCCCUAUCUAUUACAAGCCAAGAGGUGUACACAUACCCCAUGGAAGCAUAAAGGGGAAGGGGAAAUGGACCAGAUGCUCUCCGAGCCCUAUCUAUUACAAGCCAAGAGGUGUACACAUACCCCAUAAAACUUAAAUAAAAGUAAAAACAAGCAAAUGCAGGCAAGGAGGUAAGGAAAGCGGAGUAGGCAUGCAUAUUCACAUAACACGUAGGAGCACGUAAGGCUAAAUGUAGUGCAAAUGAGGGAUAGAGUGUACCUCCCUUGAAUUGACGCCCCAAUGAAGUGGAAUUAUUCAAUUACCCUCCAAAAUAAAAGAAAUGGUCAAGGUACCAAUUUAUUUGGGAAAAUUAAAGGAAAUAGGCAAUCACAAGCUCACUUGAUCGUAAAGUCCCUAAAGUCAUGACUUAAGCGCAAUUGAAACAAAGCAUGGUAAUUAAUUGAAGCAAACAAGCAAUGAGAUUGCACAAAUUAAAACUGCCAAGGACCAAAAUGAAGAGAUUAUUCAAUUGGUUGGGUCAUGGUGAAACUAAAGGGAACUUGGGGGGUUAAGGUGCAAUUUUUGAAAACAUUUUCCAUGCAAGUUCAUGCAACUGACGCAACUUGUUCUUUUCUGCAAAUUUUCCAGCCAACAUUUUCUGCAAUCUUUUCCAUUUAGCCUUACCAAACUUGAGUGCAACUUAACUCAAAACAAUCCAAUGGAUUCCACAACUCAACUUGAGUGCAAUAGAGUACCAUGAUCAUUUGCUAAGCCUCGAUCAAAUUUCCAAGAAGACAAACUCAAAAACAAGAUAAAGAAAACUGAAAACUUCCUACACGCAUGCUUUGUAGAAAGAAAAUAGCAGCUAUAAUCUCUCGCAGCCCAAAAUCUUUCAACAAUCUAUUCAACAAUCUCCAGGACUACACCAAAACACAAGGAAGGUAACUACUGGAGCAAAUGAACAAACAAGAGAAAGAUAAGCCACAAAUAUUGAAAACAUUUCUGCAUUCUUCAGUUGCAGCUUCAUGUAAAAACUCGGCAAAUAAUACUCAUAUACAGCUUUGGAACUACUGUAAUCAAAAGCAACGGGUAACAUGUCUUAAUCAAUGCAACUGGCGGGAGAAAACACAUAUAAGCUCCAUGCAAAUUUCGAACAGCUUUUGCAAUAAAACUUUCAACAAAAUCUGAAGCUUUCAACAAAGUCCUGCUGUAUAUUUACGGCACUAAAAUACACGGAUGAAUAACUCUAACAUGCACAAACCAUUGUUUAUUACCCCAAACACAGACAUUGCCAAACAUCAUUUUUGACAUUACUAAAACAUGGCAGCCUAUCUUUAGCCAACCCAACCGAGAACAAUAAAGAAAAUGCAGCAAAAGAAACUCAGUCGUGAAUCAUGCAUUGCCCAGAAUUCUCCAACCAGAUUGUGCACCAAGACAACCAAAAGAACAGUCAUGAACUCUAAUGAAACAUGUAAAUCCGUCAAUUAACUUCUCAUGGACUUUAUUUUCACAAUCCCAAAGCCAAACUUUAAACACAGAAAGGGCCAUAGUCAAGAAAACAUCUAGAAAUGAGCAUGAAGAAAACCCAUUAGCAAAAACUCAAGAUUCAUGUCUAACAAAUCGGAAUCUUCAUGAAAUGCGUAUAAAAAUAACAAAACGGGAAGCAAGGGUUACCUCCGUAUGUUCAUGGGGCCAAAGCAACGCGAGCAAUCUGAAGACAUGCGUUCGAACGAAAGGUUUGAAGCUGCAAAUGGCUGAGAUUUGCCUUUUCGGCGAAAAUUCUGCACUUUUCUUUCAGUCUUCCUCUUUUGCUUCUUGCACUGCCCGAAAUUCCUUCUCCAAGUUCCAGAUUUCAGCCGCAGCUCCCUUCUCGGUUUUCCUCAACUUUUUCCAGCUCUCUUCCUGGAUGUCGCUGUCAUGGUCGUGGUCUUCAUCAGGUUUGGUGAGGGCAGGAGCCGUGGUGUUGAGGACAUCGUCUUCAGCUUCAGCUUCGGCUUCUGCUAACCGCUGCAGUAAUUGACUCAGAGCGAGAAACAGCAGCUUGGGUGGUUGCGCCAGUUGGUGGCUUCUUCUGAGCAGUCGCUGCAGCUGUUGCGGCGGAGGAAGAGGUCGAUGACGAUGACGAUGACGAGGAGGCGAGAUUCGAGUUCAGACGGCUGUUUCCCUUUUCUGUUCGGGUGUUGCCUUCCCAAAACCCUUCUAAAACCUCUCUGUUUCCACUCUUCAGACCCUAGCCCAGAUUUCUCUCCCUUCUGAUUUCUAGCCGGCCGUCACUCUAUCCCCCUCUGUUUUUUUUCUCUUGCUUCACUUUCUAUCUUAAACCCUCGCUGUUACCUUCACCCUCAGUUUUUCUCCUUGCCCGUCAACUCUUUCUGUUUUGUUUUGCCUGAAACCCUUCAAUCUUUCUCCCUCUUUGCGGCUGUUUCCUCCCUGGUUUCUAUCCAAUGCUACGUCACUCUCUUUCUGUUUUGUUUUGCCUGAAACCCUUCCCCCAAAACUCCUCCUUUGUUUUUUCUUUUUGCUCUUCUUUUGCUCGAUGCCCUCUCUCCCGUUGCGGCUGCUGCUGCAUCUUCUAUUUAUAUGGGGCCACCCCAACCCUAAAACUCCCAUUGUCUCCUCUAAAAUUGCAGCCAAGGGCUGCCCGAGCCCUUACUUGCAAGCUGCGUAAAAACGCAGCUUGCCAUCGCGUAUUCCCUUUUUUUUUUUUUUUUUUUUAAAGUAAUUAAAAUUGAUAAUAGUAAAAAUAAAUAACAAAAACAAUUUAAUUAACAUUGGAUGAAAAAUAAACUAGAAACAACAAAGUGCAAAUUCCAAUUCAUCAUCUUUUCAUUUUCCAUUUUUCCUUUUUUUCUUUAAAUAAUGAAACUAAAACAUAUUUUUUUGAACACUUUUCUUUUUCCUUUGAGAAAUUCUAGCUAAAAAUGGAUAAAAAUGACUAAAACUAAAAGUAAAUAAACUAAAUGUGACAAUUAAAAAUAGAACAAAUAAAAACGAAUAGUAAAUAAAUAAAUAAAUAAUAAAACACCAAAAAUUUGGUGUCUACAGGGGAGCAACGUUGGUGCUCCAGAUCAUGUCACGAACUCACGAAAGUGGUGGAGACGUCGGCUCCAGGUAAAUAGUAGAGGAGACGUUGGUGUUCAGUACAAGACUCCCAAGAACUCAUUUAAGCCAAAUCAUUUCAUGGGCUCACAUGCCGGCACACAUGAUAUGCAAACGAGUAAAUAAUGCAAGAAACACUUCGCAAGUAACUUUGAAAAUAGUUUAGGGUCACUCACCUCCACGGCUCAGAAACCAUCCAUCAUAUAUCAUUACCUUGCCCGAGUUCAAGCCCUAAAUCACAAACUCAAAUGAAUCAUACAUUCUCAAAGUUCGGACAGCAUUUCCCCAUAAAUACUUCAUUUCCAACCUAUAAUAUAUUACCAAUCACACAUACGGUUAAUAAGCAAUAAAAUAUAUCCAAUUAGGCCACAAUAUCCUUCAAUCAAAGCUAAUUAAAAGCUUAUGAGCCACCAUUAGAAAAACCCCCAAUUAAACCCUAGAAACCGGAAAUCAUUCCCUCAAGCGUAAAUUUGGGCAGCAUGCUCUUUGUGUUUACCCAAUUGUCCAGCCAUUUUGGCUUCAUUAUUUUUUCUCAUUCAAACCCAAAGGUACACACACAACAAUCUAACUUCAAUAGCCGUUCAAUAGGCUCAAGACAAUACAAGAACUUAAAUCAACUAAUAACAAAUGCGGAAAUGAAGUUUACAAAAGACAGAUUUGACAGGUUUUUGCGGAAAGAACACAUCUGGGGCUACGCUUAUCAGAUUGGUGUGAAAAUUAUACCAUUUCGAAGCUAAGAUAAAGGGCUACAACUUUCAUGAAGAUCACUUGGUCAAAUUUCCAGUGUAACCUGGUCAAAUUCCCAAUUUACAGAGCUAACUUCCAACUAUACGGCUAAUUAACCGCACUGCACUAGAAUGGUCAUAUCUCAGGCUACCAAGGUCCGUUUAAGGUGUUCUUUGAGGCGUUUAAAAGCUAAGCCAGAGUACUAAAACUUUCAUGUUUUGGAAAAUGGCUAAAUCAGCACGGAUCCUAGUGAAUAAACAUGAUAAACUGGAUGAACUGACUAAAACGGAACACUGGAAACAUCCUAAAAUAGUGAGGGUAUUUUGGUCUUUUCACAGGUUACGUUGAUCCGAUUGAGCUGAAAUUUUGUAGGUAACCAUAAAAUAUCAUUCUCUACAACUUUCAUGUUUUGUGCCAAGCCUAAUUCGGCCUCUACCAUACACAAAUAAAACCGGGCAGAACAGAACAAGUUCUUUUCCAAUGAAACCCUAGGCUGAAAUUCCAUCAACCUUUGCCAAUCUAGGUUUUCAUCCAUAAAACUUCUAAGAUUCAGGUCAUCUAUCCAAUAAAAUACAAUAUAAGAGGUAGAAGAAGAGUUUCUUAGUUUAAUACCUUCAAACCUCAAGGAAAUACACAAAAACAAGGCUGCCCAUGCAACAAUCACUCCACCCAAAGCUUCCUUGUCACCAUAUUGCAAGUUUAAUCGGUUUAAUCUUUGUGGUUUCAACUCAAACAAGGUAUAAUCUAAGAUGGAACUUGAAGCUCUCCCUCUCUUUUUCUCCUCCCAAAUUCGUCCAUCAUGGAAGGCAAAGGAAGAAAAUGGUGAUUGACUUGAGUUGGAUAAGUUUUAAACUUAAUCUUGGUCAAGAUUGGCUUGGUGCUUGACAAGUGGCACAAAUCCAAGGGAAAGUCUAUCUAAUUGUCUCUCUUAAGUACUCAAAUAUCUAUUACUCCUCCAAUCAUCUCUUAACACCUUUUGUCACAUAAUUUCUUUUGCACAAAACUCAUUCUAGUCGUUAAAAUUUUACCGUACUAACCGUACUAGCGGGUCCCACGUUGAUAGUACACUUCAAACUUAACGUGAACUAACUUAUAUCAAAGAAAUGAUUUGAAAACUAUAUUCCCUUAUAAAAAUGUAUAAGAAAUUAAUAUAUUGAAGAAAGACACAAAAUUAUAGACAAGGAAACAAAAUAAUGUUUCGAAAAUAUAUAAAAAUUUUCGGGUUCUCGCACUCAUCCUUUCGGGGUGUCACAAACUCCCCUCCUUAAAAGAAUGUCGUCCUCGACAUUCCAUCUUGUACCAGUCAAGUCAAGACAUCCCGCAAGAAUCACUAAUAUUUCAAACCAAACCCACAGUCCAGCAUCUUAAACUUCAAGCCUAGGAUACACUACAGGAAUCUGAAGCCUAAACUCUGAUACCAUCUAUGACGGCCCCACCUCCCCCUAAGGCGAACCCAAGUGUUCGGCGGACCGCCUGCCCGGCUCUCGCCGGGACUCACUCACUACAAACCUCAAUUCAAUUACAAUAUAAAUCUAAAAUAUACAUCAAAUUCUCCAAUAAUUAUAUGUCAUAAGCGAAGCGUCCACGCUUCCGCUACGCCACUCUGAUCCUUGAUACCAGCUAUUAUACAGGAGAAAUUCCAAAUCUAAACUGUACAAAAUAUAGGCCAUCCAGUCACGUGAAUAAGUAUUACAAGUCCUUCCUUCGCCACGAGCCCUGUGGAGGGGAAUAAAAUAGUUUUGGGGUGAGCUAAAAGCUCAGUGAGUAACCAGCAAAAUCAGUAAGCAAAUAUAUUUCAAGAUAAUGCACUUCAAUGAUGUCAUGAAUCAAGGAUCAAAUGUACGUUUAUCGCUCUCGUGAGCCAAUGAAAUCAUUGCACUUAAACACCCAACGCUCAAAAAGAUUAUUUAACGAUAAACAAUAAGGGGGAGCAACGUUGGUGCUCCAGAUCAUGUCACGAACUCAUGAAAGUGGUGGAGACGUCGGCUCCAGGUAAAUAGUAGAGGAGACGUUGGUGUUCAGUACAAGAGUCCCCAAAAACUCAUUUAAGCCAAAUCAUUUCAUGGACUCACAUGCCGGCACACAUGAUAUGCAAACGAGUAAAUAAUGCAAGAAACCCUUCGCAAGUAACUUUGGAAACAGUUUAGGGUCACUCACCUCCACGGCUCAGAAACCAUCCAUCAUAUAUCAUUACCUUGCCCGAGUUCAAGCCCUAAAUCACAAACUCAAAGCAAUCAUACAUUCUCAAAGUUCGGACAGCAUUUCCCCAUAAAUACUUCAUUUCCAACCUAUAAUAUAUUACCAAUCACACAUACGGUUAAUAAGCAAUAAAAUAUAUCCAAUUAGGCCACAAUAUCCUUCAAUCAAAGCUAAUUAGAAGCUUAAGAGCCACCAUUAGAAAAACCCCCAAUUAAACCCUAGAAACCGGAAAUCAUUCCCUCAAGCGUAAAUUUGGGCAGCAUGCCCUUUGUGUUUACCCAAUUUUCCAGCUAUUUUGGCUUCAUUAUUUUUUCUCAUUCAAACCCAAAGGUACACACACAACAAUCUAACUUCAAUAGCCGUUCAAUAGGCUCAAGACAAUACAAGAACUUAAAUCAACUAAUAACAAAUGCGGAAAUGAAGUUUACAAAAGACAGAUUUGACAGGUUUUUGCGGAAAGAACACAUCUGGGGCUACGCUUAUCGGAUUGGUGUGAAAAUUAUACCAUUUCGAAGCUAAGAUAAAGGGAUACAACUUUCAUGAAGAUCACUUGGUCAAAUUUCCAGUGUAACCUGGUCAAAUUCUCAAUUUACAGAGCCAACUUCCAACUAUACGGCUAAUUAACCGUACUGCACUAGAAUGGUCAUAUCUCAGGCUACCAAGGUCCGUUUAAGGUGUUCUUUGAGGCGUUUAAAAGCUAAGCCAGAGUACUAAAACUUUCAUGUUUUGGAAAAUGGCUAAAUCAGCACGGAUCCUAGUGAAUAAACAUGAUAAACUGGAUGAACUGACUAAAACGGAACACUGGAAACAUCCUAAAACAGUGAGGGUAUUUUGGUCUUUUCACAGGCUACGUUGCUCCGAUUGAGUUGAAAUUUUGUAGGUAACCAUAAAAUAUCAUUCUCUAAAACUUUCAUGUUUUGUGCCAAGCCUAAUUCGGCCUCUACCAUACACAAAUAAAACCGGGCAGAACAGAAUAAGUUCUUUUCCAAUGAAACCCUAGGCUGAAAUUCCAUCAACCUUUGCCAAUCUAGGUUUUCAUCCAUAAAACUUCUAAGAUUCAAGUCAUCUAUCCAAUAAAAUACAAUAUAAGAGGUAGAAGAAGAGUUUCUUAGUUUAAUACCUUCAAACCUCAAGGAAAUACACAUAAACAAGGCUGCCCAUGCUACAAUCACUCCACCCAAAGCUUCCUUGUCACCGUAUUGCAAGUUUAAUCGGUUUAGUCUUUGUGGUUUCAACUCAAACAAGGUAUAAUCUAAGAUGGAACUUGAAGCUCUCCCUCUCUUUUUCUCCUCCCAAAUUCGUCCAUCAUGGAAGGCAAAGGAAGAAAAUAGUGAUUGACUUGAGUUGGAUAAGUUUUAAACUUAAUCUUGGUCAUGGUCUUGGUCAAGAUUGGCUUGGUGCUUGACAAGUGGCACAAAUCCAAGGGAAAGUCUAUCUAAUUGUCUCUCUUAAGCACUCAAAUAUCUAUUACUCCUCCAAUCAUCUCUUAACACCUUUUGUCACAUAAUUUCUUUUGCACAAAACUCCUUCUAGUCGUUAAAUUUUACCGCACUAACCGUACUAGCGGAUCCCACGUUAAUAGUAUACUUCAAACUUAACGUGAACUAACUUGUAUCAAGGAAAUGAUUUGAAAACUAUAUUCCCUUAUAAAAAUGUAUAAGAAAUUAAUAUAUUGAAGAAAGGCACAAAAUUAUAGACAAGGAAACAAAAUAAUGUCUCAAAAAUAUAUAAAAAUUUUCGGGUUCUCACACUCAUCCUUUUGGGGCGUCACAAGAACUUUUGUUGUUUUUUUUUCCUUUGUGUUAAUUAUGUUGUGAAACAAUAUGUAAUGUAAUUGCAUUUAUAGUUCAACUCUUAUAUUUUGCACAACCAAUUCUUGUGCCCUGAUGAAAUAGAUGCUGCUGGAACGAUUGAAGGAAAACCGAGAAUGCAAAACUGCCUUUACUCUACUUGGUCAAUCUAUCUUGAUCUGAUGUGCAGAGGUUCUUGAAUUUAUGAAAAGGGAAAGCUAUCUUCAUAUACUUCAUGUCCUUGGAGAGGUCGGAUUGCAUCUUUCUCUAAUAGUACAGCAGUAAGGGUAUUCUUGAAAUCUGUUUUAGUAUAUUAGCCAGCUUCUCUUCGUUGCUUAUUAAUUUCCCUCUAUUUAUUGCACUUUGCUUUUGGUUUAUGGUAAUUGAAUUUUCUUUUCCUCCCAUUCUCUCUGCGAUCAUGUCUUCUUGUUUAUUCUGCGAUUUUGUUAAAGUACUUCUGUUGUUCAAUCAUGUUAUUACCUUCCUUCUCUUUUCAAGGUCUCGACAAUCAUUCAAUUGGGGUCUUGAAUUUUUUUUUAUUUUUUUGCCUUAAAAUGCAUUUUUGUUGGCAUUCAAAUACAGAUUUUUACACUAGAGCAAAGUUUCAGAAGGCCCAGCUAGAGUUUCUAAGUUCAGAGAGAUCAUGGCAACAGUUUAUAGUCCACUUAUGUAUCAAAUUCAUGCUAGCUUGAUUGGUUGCUGAUUAAUUGGAAAAAUUCCCAAAGUUCUAUGGACGUAGUAAUUGACAGAGGAAUGUAAAAUUUUUUUUAUCUGAUAGGGUCUUUCACACUCUCAUGAGUUGAAGAUACCAUUCAGCAUCCUGUAGUUGAAGAUACUAUUAUAGAUGGUUUCUUAAAAAUGUUAAGUAUGUAUUCUUAUCUUCUUUAAGUUGCAUUGCACAUAGCUCCCAUUCAUACAUCCUGCCUCGGUCUAAAUCAUGUAAGUCAUCAUGAGUUAGACUUCUAAUUGGAUCACGUCGAAUGUCCCUUCAGUUCUUAUUGGAUCAGUUGUGCAUUUUACGAUAUUUAUACAGCGAGGUGUCUUGGUUCUUCUAAGGACACCUUUUACCCUGAUUUCUUUGCAGGUAAAUCUAGUUCAUGCUUUAAGGGACAAUUAUGAAGUGUGAUUUGCAUGUCAUUUGUCUGUUCUGCAUUUGCAUCCAAGUGUCUAAAUCUAUAAUCAGUGUCCUUUUUUAGUUGUUUUCUUGCUUAUGCUAAUUCCUGGCUAUACUGAUAGUUCAUAUAAGAAAUGAUUUGAUUUUCCAAAAGUACGAAUACACUUAUCAGAUAGAUGUUACGCAGCAAAAACUACAUAAAUGUUGUAAUUAUUCUUGAAUACAAGGUGGUAUGAGAGGAAGGGCAAUAUUGGGGAUUGGAUGACAAUGGAGACCUCCAAUCGUAUUGCAGGAUAGCAAAUUUUCAUAGGAGUUAGAUAAGCUGUCUUGCUAGGGUGGGUAGUGAAAGUACACUAGGAGAGAUAAACUGCAUAAUUUAUCCAUUAUUGAAUAUGUAGUGAUUCUCUAUAUAGCUUAAGGGACUGUUGAGAUUGUACUGCUUGUAAAUGCAAAUUAAGGUCUUCGCUAGUGCUGAAGGCUUCAAUCAAAAGCGAGAAGAUUACUGAUGAAAAGCGAGACAGGAGUAGGUUUCCUUUAAUUGUACUUGAAGGAAAUUAUAAGGCAACAAGAUUUCUAGAGGAUGAAAGUGUAAAAUCUUGCACUUCGAACUAGAAAUAUUGCAUGUGGAGCGAUAGACAAACUUAAACAGUAAUGUUAGUGGAAUAUCCCACGUUGAUAUUUCAAGGAUUUCCAACCAUAUAUAUAAGAUGUUGGGUCACUCCACUCAUUGCCAAUUGGUUUUGAAAUGGAAGUCCAAGUUUUUGAUCAUGGUAUCAAAGCUAGGCUUGGAUUUAUUUGUUACCGCGUUUAUAGGUUUUACUUGUGACUUGGUUCUUUACUAGUUUAAGUCCAUUCACCAAGUCACAUUUGCGGAGGGGGGUUAGUAGAAUAUCCCACAUUGCUAUUUCAAGGAUUUCUAGCCAUAUAUAUAAGAUGUUGGGCCACUCCACUCAAUUGGUUUUGAGAAGGAAAUCCGAGUUCAUUAAUGUUAGUUAUAUCUACAAAUAAAUGCUUCUUACUACAGUUAAGUGGCUAUUAGUGUUGAUCAGGUUUGCAUGAGCUGGCAUAAAAUGGUGUUGAAAAUUGAAGAAACAGAGCGUGUUUAAUUUGCUCAACGUAUGAUGCUUCUCUCCUCUCUCUCUCUCUCAAAAGUCAAGUUUAGUACUUUGAUGAAUUACGUUAUAAUCUGAAUCGCCCAUAAAAUGGUGUUGAAAAUUGAACAAACAGAGCGUGUUUAAUUUGCUCAACAGAUGAUGCUUUUCUCCUCUCUCUCUCUCUCUCUCUCUCUCAAAAGUGAAGUCUAGUACUUUGAUGAAUUACGUUAAUCUGAAUUGCCCGAAAAGUCAUAUUCUUGUGGCAAAAAUAGGGUUUCUCCAUUGUGAUUCAGAAAUGUUUUCUUAAAAUAAAAUUAAAAUGAGGGACAUAAGUGUCAAUAUGCAAGAACAGCCCUGCAUGUAUGGAUUAGGCCACGGAGGGACUGAUUUCUUUCCAGACCAUGAUUUAAUAUGAGUCUGAUAGCUCGGUUCACUAGAUUCACCUUUCCUGCCUUAGAACAAUACUAAUUUAGUCCAUAGUUUGUCUUUUAUUGUUUCAGUUAUUUUCUUUUUUCUUUUGGCCUUGUCCGUGUUAAAGGACUACUAGUUCUUCAAUUGAUCCUUUAAAUUUUCAAAACAUUGGUGAUAAAUUUAUUGACACACAGAGUUAUCAUGUUGACGUCAACGUGAUAACGUUUAUGUUCUUGUUGGCUAAAGAAAAAUACUUCACAUCAGAGAAUAUUGCAGACUCUAUGGAUGUUGAUGACUAAGAAUAUAUCAGAGAUGGUAACUUUGUGGAGUUCUACAUUCCUUCGUAGAUUGUACAUAACCAGAUACAAGUAAGGUGGUGUUUGGUUCGCACAUUGGUAUCGGAUUCGGAUUCGGAAUCGGAUAUCCUAAGUUUGGAAUGAGGUCAUUCAUUCCAAUACAUUUGUUUGGUUCAAGUACCUGGAAUGUGUAUCAUUACUAUAGUUGAUGUUUGGUUCAUCGACUCUUUCGGAAUGAAAUAUAAUAAAUAUAUUAUAAAUCUCAUCGUAAAUGAUAGUUACUGGCUCUUUGUAAAUGGGAUAUAAGAAAUUUUCACUAAUUAAAUAUAUUAGUAUAAAUGUAUUAGUAAAUUUAGUCUAACUAAUUAAUAAUUUCUAUUAGUCAACGUGUGCAAUUAUUAGUAUAAUUGAUAAUAUUAAUUAUAUUACAUAAAUUAAUAUACAUUAUAUAAUACAUAUAAAUAAUAAUAAUAUUAUUAUAAGUUUGUAACUAAUUAAAUUAAAUAUUAUAUAUAAUUAAAUAUAAAUAUAUAAAUGUUAUAAUAUAAAUAUAAAUAUAUAAUUAUAUAAUAUAUGCAAAUAUUAAUUAUACUAAUAUUUUAUCUAAAUAUAAUAUAUAUUACAUAUUAAAUAUAGUUAUUAUUACAUAUUAUUAUAUUUAAAAUAAUAAUUAUAAUUAUAAUUAUAUAACUUAUUAAUAUUACAUACACGUAUAUAUUAUAAUUAUAUGCACAUAUAAUGUACAUUUAUAAAUAUACAUAUAUAUUAUAAAUAUAAUAUUAUAUAAUAUUAAUAAAUUUAUAAUAUAUAUUAUAUAAGUAUAAUUAUAUUUAACUAAAUAAUUAUAAUAUAUAAUUAUAUAAUAUAAUAACAACAUUAUUAUAAGUUUGUAACUAAUUAAAUUAAAUAUUAAAAAUAUAAUUAAUUAUAAUUAUACAAAUGUUAUAAUAUAAAUAUAUAAUUAUAAUUAUAUAAUAUAUAAAUAUUAAUUGUACUAAUAUUUUAUAUAAAUACAAUGCAUAUUAAUAUUAGAUAUAGUUAUUAUGUUUAAAAUAAUAAAUACAAUUAUAAUUAUAUAAUUUAUUAAUAUUAUGUACAUGUAUAUAUUAUAAUUAUAUGCAAAUAUAAUAAGCAUUUAUAAAUAUACAUAUAUAUUAUAAAUAUAUUAUUAUAUAAUAUUAAUAAAUUUAUAAUAUAUAUUAUAUAAUUAUAAUUAUAUUUAAUUAAAUAAUUAUAAUAUAGAUUUAUAUAAUAUACUAGUAUUAUAAUAAUAUAUUAUAUAUAUGUAUAUAUUAUAAUAUGUACAUAUAUAUAAUAUAUAUAAAUAUUAAUUAUACUAAAUAAUAUGUAAUCGGUAAAAAAAUCUUGGAAUCACACUUGGGUUUUGGACAAAACCCACCCUUCUACUAAGGAAUGGAGAGACACCAAAUUUUUAGAAAUCAUUCCAAGAUUUCAAUUUUCAUUCCAGUGAACCAAAUACCAAUUAUAGAGUUCAUUCCAUUCCUUCAUUCUGAUACCCUUUUACCAAACGCCCCCUAAUUGAUGCUGUGCAUUCCCUAUGGCCGGUUUUUUAUAGGUAGCCUUGUAAAAUGCCUGGUUUGUGGCAACAAACCAAGUGCUACCUGGUCUUCUCCCUUGGUGGCAUAGCAAUUGAUUUUUUUUUUGGUAACCAAGAACAUACCCUGACUCGAACUCUUAGGACCCGAACCGGCACACCAAACUGGAGGAGUGCACCACGGCCCCACACAACGAUUUCGAGCGAGUCACGGGGGUUCAAGUUUAGGGUAAGAUUCGAAUUCAGGACCACAAGAGUCCUUAAGAGCCCGCUUACUGCUGGACCACCCCCGUGAGGGCCAUAGCAAUUGACUUUGAUGGAUCCCUUUUUAAGAAUUCGAAAGAGGUUGCUGCAGGAGUUUUGGUAAGGAAUGAUGCUGGGGCGUUUUAAAACUGGUUGUUUUAAAAGUUUGCCUAUGUAAUCAAUCCUCAGGCUAUGUUUUCAGACUCGGACCGGGUAUCGACUCGACCGAGCUCAGGGGUCAAUGAGUUUGACCGGGUUCGAUUGGGGUUGAACCGAAUGAUGUCAUAAAUAAAAAUUAUUUAAAAAUUAAAAUAUUGUAUAUAAAAUACCUAAAAAGUAUGUUAAUAUUAAUAAAGGUAUAUUCAUAUAUAUUUGAUGUUUCAAAUAACAAAAAAAUGCAAAGAAAUUAGAAUGAUCAAGUAGCAAUUUAUAUUAUUUAAUGAACAUUAACAAGUUUAGAAUUAAAAUCAUGGAUUUGAUUGAAAAAUAACAUCAAAUUUUAGGACAACAUUUAUAAAGUAUGAAAUAUUUGAGAUAUAUUAAUAAGUUUUAACAAUUUAGGAGUCAAAACAUAAUAUUGAAAAAGAUUGACCUUUUUUUUUAAAAAAAAUGCUCUUGUUGAACCGGUUUUCCAGGUCAAACUCGGGUUUUGUUCGAAUUUGACCGGAUUUUUAGUCCUCCGGUUUUGAAGAACAACUCGGACUGAACACUUAGCCGGUUUUCGGUUCGAUAGAUCGGACCGGCUGGUUCGGUCCGAGUUUAAAAUCGCAGUCCUCAGGUAGCUAAGAUAUUGGCUAAUAAAAUUUUCCUUGCCAGUAAGUAGUCGAAUUUUCCACUCACCUUUGAGGGUGAUGCUGCUUCUGUACCUCUGAUAAUCCGGGAUCCAAAUGCAGACUUAUUUGCUGCUGUGUGCUGAUUGAUGAUGCUUGCCAGCUGCUUAGUCCGAUUGCUAUUGAAUUAGUGUCUGUAGUGAUGUCACGAAACAAGGCUGCUCAAACAAUUUGGUAAGCAUGCUAAGUUGAAUUGUAGUACAUCACGGGGAGGCUCGGGGCGCCUUCACUUUUACGGUUAUCUUUUCUCGUUGAUGAUAUUUGCAUUUGGAUAGAAUAUUAUUUGAAAUAAUUAUUGUAGUAUUUUUGUGAUCUGAUGUAUUUGAGAUAAAAAAAAUGGUUAAGAAUAUAAAAAGAUACGUUGAAAAAUAUAUUUAUAAUGUAAAUGAAAUAUUAUUUACAAAAAUUUAGCUAUUUCUUUCAAAUAAAUCUACUACUGUCUUUUUUGGCUGGGAGGGGGGAGGGCGGGAUUAAGAAAAGAAGAAAAGAUAAAGACGUACCCUUUCCCAUGUUGAAAGUUUAUAAACAACGAUUCAAGAAUUCGAAGGAUACCAUUGUUCCCACUGUUAGAUGCAAAGCUAGCACCGAUGCCAGCACCAAUUUUUUUUUUUUAAACAUACGCAUAUCUCAAGGUUUAGAGUCAAGGUAUUACUCUUUCUUAUGAUAGGCUGCCAAUCCACUGAAAAUCAUAACAAUCCCACCAAGGAAAAAAUGAAAAAUAUAUACCUCCGAAAUUUCCCGAUCUUUUAUGGUCUUUUUAAAUUUCGAUCAUAAAAAAAUACACUGUUAUGGUCUUUUAUGGUCAUUUUUUAUGGACAUCUGUACGAGGGGAGAAAUGACGAAAGGUUAAGCAUCCAAACUACGUGAUGUAACUCUAUAUAACUUUUCAAAAGAAGAACUUCAUAUGCAUCUGUCCCAGAACAAAAAUGUAAACAAAAAAGCUUCACAUGCAUAUACCCGUGAACAAUGGUUUUAUUAGUACUAAAGGGAUAAGAGGGACAACUGUUCCUCAACAGAGCAGUCGACAUGACAAGAUAUCCGACAAGAAAAAGGGAUGAGAAUCAGACCAAGGCCUCGCUGUUCCACUGGAGAAGCAGGAGAACGUCUAAUACAACGAUAUUCAACUGCAUCUUGAAGGAUGAUAUUUCCUUGCUUAUCCAUGCAGUAGAAAUUACCCAAGAAGAAUCUUCCAUCUUUGAUCCCUACUAACAUUCGACGGGACAGCAGCCUUUUCACUCUGCUCACAUAAUUCAAAGUUGUUGACUCCAACCCUUCUGAGCUUCUUCUCUGAUGUACAGAUGAUGUCUCUUCUUCUUGUUUGGGAUCCAUUCACCUUGAACAAUUUCCUAGAACGGUGAGAAUUUGAACAAGUUGCUUCGUAGGCUUUAACAAAUUCCUUUACAGAUAAAUAUGGCCCUCUGAACUGCGACAAGCGAGCACAAAGGAUACAAAUAACCCAGUGAGCAUGCUAUUGCCAAUCACAAACAUAUCUAAACAAAAUCUUGAUUCUGUUUUGUAACUUCCAAGAGGCACACCAGAUAAUAGUUAAGAAGGUAAACUGACUUUGGCUUUAUUUAGCUCUGCCUCCUUUCAUUUAAACUUUUUUUGGAGCAAGGUGCUAGGGAGGUGGGAAAGAGUUCAUCAUUUCUUCACCUGUGUCCUAGAAUACAGUUUCGAACUCAUGCAAUGAAUACCCCUCCUUUACACCUGAAAAAAACAGAAACAACAGCUUAAAAUUGGAAAGAAAGAAUAUCAUCGGAAGUUAAAAAAGGCAGUAAGGGUAAAUGUUAACUUGCACAACAUCCAUAAGGACCAUAACCCUCGCAUAAGAGGAUUGUAGUACUACUAGAUUUCUGCCAACUAAAAUAUGGAUGACAAGAUCAUGUACAAAUUUCUUCAAAAGACUAAAUUAAAUAUAUGUUAUGCGUCUUCACAACUUUACCAAGCCGCGAGCAACCCAAGCUACUAAAUUAGGAGGACAAUUGGUCCUACCUGUUGGCUCAUUACCAAAAACAAACUAACAUGGUGCCAGCAAGGUGUCAUAAAUAUUUAUAGAACUACAUUUCAUAUUUCAAACAUUUUAACCAGCACUUAAAUGCAAGUUACCACGCAAGUUACCAUUUAAGAAACUCUUUGAGCAAUACUGUCUCAACACAGGAUUGGUAUUAUAAACUGUAGCAAUAACAAAAAUGACAACAUUCUCAAUUUUUUUCCUCAAAAGAGGCUUAACGGAUUUUAAAAUGCUCUUCAUACUAAAAUACAACAUGAGACCUUUUAUAAAUUGAAAAGAUUCUCUUUGAUUAUGUCAAAUUAAGGCUUUUUUAAGUGAGAUCACUCGACAUUUGCAGAAAAUUGGCAUUUUCAACUGAAAACUAUAGAAAUAUUAGAAGAUAAAGUAGAGAAUCAUAACCCCUGGAAGAAAGAAUAUAACACUUAUAAGUUGAGACUAAACCAAGGUAGAAAACCAAGAAAAAUACUGCCAACUAAAAAGUUUGUAACUAAACAAAGUCAUCUCAGAACAUAGGAUAGAUAUGAGUGGAAGAAUAUGAUACAAUAUUUUUCAAGUACCCAACUCAGAUUUUAAAACAAGAAUGGAAAAAAUGAGAUAUGCAGACAGGGAUGAGGAAUAACUAGUGAAGAAGGGACAUUUUUUGGUUGAUAAUGGUAACAAUGCAAAUUUCCAAAGUUGGGAAUCAAGUACGACUAGAGAUCUGAAAUUUCUUUUCCUCUUACAAUUUUUUUCUCUGCAAUGACUCAUGAGUCUAUAUCUUUUUUCUUUAUGGUUCUCCCUGCUUGUGUCCUUGCGAAAUCUGUUUUAGGACUUCAUUUUUAAAUCACCCUGAGGGAAAAAAAAGGUAGGGAAACUCAGAACACCAAGGUCCUAUAAGGCCCCAGUUUUGACCCUUUUUAACCUCAGUCCCAACAUGGUUCUGAAUCGAGGUUUCAGCAACUAAUUAAAUGGACAAGCAACCAGUUCUAGGUAAAAGUAGCUUGUCUGGUCCAGGCUUGAUUAUAAUUAAAAUUGGCCAGAACAGAUUGUUUUGACAGAGGAAACUACUGGUUUCGCAAAGACACACAGGAAAAGUAGAAAAUAGAUGAGAUAGUUUUAACUCUGAACUAUCUAAUUGGGAGUUAGAGAAUGACAAACUACUCAUCUUAUUACAAAGACAACAAACUGGAUGAUCAAACUUCAAAGACAGCAGCAAGAACAUAGCAAAUCAACUAUAUUAUACGUUUAAAUGCUAGGCUUUACACUCUAACACGUUCACUUACUACUGAUACAGUUACAUGUCAACAAAAGCUGCUGACUAGCUUAAACAGGUUUUUAAUGUUUGGCUUCACCUACUCUGGCAGACUCUUUUAAUGUUAAGGACAGCAGUAGUCGAUCAUCAAGUAGCACAUGCUAAGCAUGUGAGAAUUUGGACCUUUUGCAAACAAUGUACAUGUUAAAACAAAAUGUCACACACACACAGGUGAUUUUGCGGAUCAACAUAUCAGAAACUGCUAUAGAUUAAACAACAAAAAUCUUUCGUUCUUCUCAUCCACUUUGUAUCAUCAUACUAUCAGCUAUUUAAUUUCCAUUCCUCCAAUUUAUUCAAGUACUGAUCAUAUCUUUUUUUUUCUUCUAUCGCCAUCUUCAAAUUUUCUUUACCUUUUCCUACUCCUCUCAUCUUCAUUUCCCUUCGUUGGAUUAGGCUUUCCAAGAUUUACUUGUCCUCCUAUUAGAACAUUGCUUAUGCAGAUUUCUUAAUAGGAUAUACUAAAAAACUUCCUUUGUAGCCCAUUAAAAUUUCCAUUAUUUCUUUUAGAUUUUCUUCCUGCUUCUUGGAAAACAUUAUUCUCACCUACUACUAAUUCUCUUACUCUUACAACGUAAACUUAUAAUUCAAAUUCUGGAGAACUUAACCCUAUCUCUCUUAUUGGAUAAAUUACCACUAAAGUUCUAUAAUUUUUACUUCCAACAUUUUUUUGGUGUUAUUUUCUGCUAUGCUUAAUCAAAACUUGCAUAUUCUUUUGAAUUAUGCUAGCAGAACAUCAGUAUUCAGAUCAAAUCAGCACUUAUUCAAGGUUCUGCUUUCACCUGUCAUGCCCAAAUUUAGUCUUAACCACUGCAAGACGAAAAAGUAUAUAAAAUAGUUUUGAAAUUUUCGAUGAAACACAAAACAAAGGGAUGAAAAGAUGAUAAAAAGAAAAAAAUGGUAAGAAUGAUUUGAGAGGAUCAAAGAAAUGCUCCCUCACAUUCUGCAUUUGUCUGCUUUAUAGUCCCUCACUUUCAAAAGGAUGCAAUUUAAUCCCAAUUUAAUCCCUCAGAGUGGACAUGAUGCAAAAACAUUUUAGAACUUAGACUGUUGCGUUAGCAUACUGUUAAUUCCAUGUGUUUUGUAGUUUUAGGAUCAGUUUUGUUUAGCUGGUGCAUAUGUACUAGGCAUGUGCCUCAUAAGGGUAUUUUCGUCUUCUUCAGUUUAAGGCAACAACAUGUUCAGAGCCCUUUAAGUACCCAUUUUUAGGCACCGACAGAAGUUUUUCAUCUCAGUUAUAGCCUAAAAUUUACACUUAAUCUACUACACAAUCAAAUAGCCUAGAAGCUGACAUCCCUGAAAAUUUUGUGUUUUCUCUUCAUCAAUCCUAGAAUUUUUGUGCUGCUAUCAAGCAUUACUCUUAGCUUUCAGCAUGAAUUUAGAAUGAACAAUUUUUAUCUCAAAACCAUCUCAGGCCACCUUUUGGCCCGACAAAACUUACAUAACAGCUAUGUAUCCUAAUUUUAGGGCCAAACAGGACCCAUUUCUCCCAAAUAUCAUCACAUGUUGGUCGAAUGUCUACUGCCACUCAAAAAGUAGUAGUAGACUUAAAUUGGAAAUCAUAAUUAAGCAAAAUCAGUCUCCCUAAGUUGACUGGUGAACCUAUAUUAAUCAAAUACCCAGCCACCAGAAGAAAUGUGUCCUCACUAGCAUCAACCACAUCAUUCACCACCAAAGUUUUCUAGCCAAAACAGCUCCAGUCAUGUACUCAAUCUUCUCUGGCCAAAACAGCUCCAGUCAUAUACUCAAUCUUAUCGGCCAGCCUUGUCCACUACCAACAGACAUCCUUGUAUUGAUACUCAACCCAAAAUUCAUCCAAACAACAAAUUAGUUUGAACAAUAUGAAUAGCUCCAGACUUCACAUCUGAAUUUGACCAAUUAAAGACACCAAAAAGGGUUAUUGAAAAUAUACUUUGGCUCCCCAUAAAUUCAUUUCCUUCUGAUCUUGAACAGACCCCUCUUAGUUUGAGCUAUUAAAGCUCCAGAGUUAAGAGCCAUUAGAUCAGACUAGAUAAAGGACGCUUCUAGGUUGGAAAAAUUUUGUUCAAACAAAUUGCGUAAUUUCCAUUUCUCAAGGAAAACUUUUCUUCUCAACAUAAUGAGCCUGAUGAGCAGGUUUUUCACUGCAGGUUCUACAUUUUUAGUGGGACUAGACAUGUGAUUGGCAUACACUAGCAUCUGGGUAAGGCAGGCAUGUGAUGCCUCUUUUGCACAUGAGAUUGCCACCAAGGCAUGUGACUUUUUCAUGCCAUAAAGCCGCAUAGACUGGCAUUGGAACCAAAAUGGUACUUUCUAUAUUCUAUACAUGGAAGGACCAAAUUGCAUCAAUUUCAAAGUGGGGGGCUUCAAAAGGACAAACACAACAUGUGAAGGAAUAUUUUUUUUCAAAAAUUAGGAGUUGCCACUCUUUACUGGGUUCUAAGUGUACCAAGUUACUAGUAGAAAGAAAAAAACAGGAAUUAAAUAAUAAAUUGAUUUAAACACGGACCAACAUGCAUUCAGUUAAUUUAAAGGAGAAUUUGAACACUUCGGUAAGCAUGAAAAAUUUAAGAGAAAUAGACGCACAAAAACAUAAAGAGAGAGGUUUUGAUCUUGAGCCUCUGUUGGAAAAUGCUGCAAGAAUAAAGCAUGCAUUCUAUCACAAACAUUCACAUUCACAAUAAUAAAUAUGAAUGAAUAAAUAAAACAAAUAGGCACAAAUGAGUUCCAAAAAUCAGAGAAAACUCAUUAAAGCUAAUGAAUAUCUCCUUUGGAAAAAAAAAGCAUAAAAUUUGACCUUUGUAAACUUAAUAAAAACUUUUAAAACAAACAGCUGAGUAAUCUGAACAUAUGGUCAGCUUCCGGUCCAUAUCCCGGAGAUGGUAGACCCGGUGGAAACUCGUUCAGACUCGGAAGAUUCGGGCAGAGUCGACUCUGGGACUCAAAAGAGCGGCCGAGUCAACCCGCAUGGACUCAUCAGAUAUCCAUGAACGGAGGCUUUCACCAUGAUUUUCAUGGACUUUUAGGGUAUAAACAAAUUAUUAUUAAAAAAAACUUACCCGUGUCCAAUUUAUGAGAAAUUGCACAGAAAGACAGCCAUAAGAAGUCAAUCUCUAACCCAAGAUUCUCUCUUUGAAGACUCUUCACUAAACAGCAAGUGGGUAGCAGAUAUUCAAAAGAAGGAGAAGGAAAAGUAAAAAGGCGAAGAAGACGAGGAAGCUUUCAAUAUCAUAUUCACGGCGGCGGGUGGCUGUGAAUUUUGGAGAAGAGAUGGGAGGGAGGAAAGAAGAACGCACGGGCCCCGUGGCUGCUUUGACCAGAUAGUGCCAAUCUGGUUUGAAGCUGUACAAUGUGAGAAGGGUUAACCGUAAUUUAACCCCUUGAGUUAUAUCUAAUUCCCACUUCACCCCUUAACCUUUAUUCCGUAUCACUUAACUCCUUAGGGACAAAAAUAGCUUCUAUUAUAUAAUUUUUUUCCUUUUUUAUCCCGUUUGUCUUUUUCAUUUUAAAUUAGUUUUAUUUUUGUAAAUUUUUGUUUCUAAGACAAUAUUCUGUAAUAGAAAAUAAGAAUGUCCAUUCUCUAAUUUAUAUAAUUAAAAAACUAUAUAUAUAUAUUUUUUAAAAGUCAAAUUCAUUUAUUUUCCAAUUUAAGAAACCAAGAAAAAAUUUUAUUAUAUUUCCUUGUAAUUACACUAUUCACAGUCAAUUACUCAUUUUUACAAUCACAUAUUCACAUGUCAAUACUAAACAUUUUAUUUGUUAUUUUUCCUAUAAUGAAAUUUUGGUUGGUAAGAUUUUUUUCUAACCAUUUUUUAAAAUUAAUCAAUUGUUAGUGUAUUCCGUAAUAUAUAUAUAUAUAUAUAUAUAUAUAUAUAUAUAUAUACACACACACUCAUCUCAAUUCUUAUGCAAAACUUUACCACCACCAAUUAGAGUGGUCAAAAUUAAAUCAUGGGUUAAAGUUCAAUAAUUUAAGGAAUUAAAAAUUUUGAAAAUAAAAGCUUAGUAUAAUAGAGGAGUAUUUUUGUCUUUAAGGGGAUUAAGUAAUAAAGAUUAGAGGUAAAAUUGAAAAUUCCGAUAUACUUAAGGGGAUAAAUUGUCAUUAACCCAAGUAAAAAUGAUAAAGAGAUAAUUUCAAAAAACCUUUCUCUGAUGUAUCUUUUAGAACCAUUGAAUUUUAAAAAAUGUCAUUUAUCUCCCCUACUUUGGAUAUUUUUUCAACUUUUGCAACAAGAUUCAAAAAAUAAUGUUAAAAAAACUCAUUUUAGAAGAGAGAGGAUAAUCUGAUUCUAAAUUUACAUUUUUUUUGUGGACACUUAAUUGUCAUAACAUAUUAAUUUCAUUUCUUAAUUUUUGUAAAUUUGGUUAAUAUGGUUCAUUAAUUGAAAUUCAAAAGUUAAUAGCAGGACCCUUUAAUAGCUUUUUAUAUCAUUGGUUUGGAAAAGAAAUAUUAAGAUAUUUAAAUUAUAAAUAGUUUACAAUACUUGUAAAAAUAACUUGAAAUAUUUUAUAAUAAUGAAAAUAACUUUUGUUACCAACUUGAAAACGUCACAAACUGUAAGGCCCGAAAAUAACUUAAGAGGGGGUGAAUUAGGUUGAUUAUAAAACUAAUCAAGUUAUGGGCACUUUUUGUUCAAUAUGAAAUUUACCCUCUUUUCUAAGUGAUCAUACAAUGAAUCAAUCAAUGAAUGAACAAAAUGUGAUGACCCAAAAUUUUUAUUAUUUUAAUUUUAUUUCACUGGUUUAUUUAAUUAUUUAUUCACCCGUUUAUCCCAAAUAAUUUAUUUCAUCCGUUUUAAGUCCAUUUGUAUGCAAAAAUGUCCCUUUUAUAAUUUUAAAACGUUUCGUUAGCAAAUUUAAUUUUUCUACGACUCAUUUAGCGAGAAAUAAUGAGUACACAUUUUUCGAGGUUAUAUUCGAUCUAAGAGUACAUUAAUCUUGGAAAAUUAAGAAUGAUUAAUAGUAGACUAAGAAAAGUUAAUUGAGGGAUUAGAUGUGAGUUAGUUAAAAUUAAACUUUUACUGCGCGCGCGUCAAUAGUUUCCCGAAAGUCGCUCCGGUACGACUAAUUAGAGAUUUGAGGAUUUAACAUUAGACUACUAAGGGUGAGUAAUUACCAUAUUAAAGGAGUUACAUUGGAGGUUUAGUACUCAAGUGAAUCAAAUUCGAGAGAAAGUGGUAGUACAAAACACCAUUUGGGCACUAUUAAGAGUUGACGUUUUGCACCAAACUUAAAGCUACUAUUUCAUUCUUUCCCUCCAACUUUCAUCACACAAACAAACCCUCAUCUCUCUCUCCUCACUCCCUCAUUUUCGGCCAGACCAACAAGAAAGAAAAAGGGAAGGAAAAACUUCAUUUGUUUAGCUUGAUUUCACUCACCAAACCUCCACCAAAUCGUAAAUAACUUGGAGUAACACUUCAUCUAGGAGUAAGGAGCAAUCUUGAGGACUUUUCCUGGAGAGUUUCGGCUAAAAAUUUCUGGUUUCAUCUUAAGUUUUGAAGGUAUAAACACCUCCACCAAAGCUUUUACUUUCUUGUUUCAUUUCUUGGUUUUGAAGCUUGUAGCUUCCUUAUUGUUGUUGUUGCUUGGAUUUGGUUGGUUGAAGUGGGCUCUAUAAACUCCCACCUUAGUUAUAUGAGGGCUGCCAUGAUGUUUAUGUGUGUGUUAGUGUGUUUGUGAUGAGUUUUAAUGGAAGAACUAGAAGAGGAAAAAGAAAGAGAGAAAACCGUGAGAGGAAGCAAGAUGGCCGAAUCUGCCCUGUUGUUGUUCUUGCUUGAAUUUUGAUUUUUUGUUGGUUUUUUGGCUGUGAAAUUGGUUGAUAUAUGUUGUAUAUUGUGUGUUGAAAGUGUCUACCAAAAAUCAUUUUAUUUGGUUGAGCAAAACUAGAAUUUUCGAAACUGCAAAAAAUCUGGAAAUGGUCAUCCGAAGGCCUGAACAGUGUAUCUUUGAUUGAACAUAACUCUUUGUACAAAAGUCAAAAUCGAGUGUCAUUUGUGGCAUUUGAAACUAGACAUCUGUAGUUUUCUAACGGUAUAAAAAUCACUGUCUAGUUCGUUUUGUGUGAACUGCAAUGAACUGAUAAAGUCGGCUGUUCUGUUCAGCCUGUUCAUUCGAAUGGAAAUGAGAAGCUGUAACUUAUGGCUUGAAUUUGAACUACUUUUGAACUGAUUUUGGAAAUGAUUUCUUCUGAUGAAAUGUGGAAUUUUGAACCUAGUUUUCAACGCCACCAACAUUCUCAAUUUCAAGUUGUAUUGAGUGAGAUAUGGUUCAAUUUCCAAACCGUGGCAAAACUGGAAAACUGGAAAACUUUUCCUUCUUGCUGGCCGACUGGUCUAGUUUGUUGUGGGAGGUUUUAUUUCGAAAAUUUUGAUGUCAAUUACCCACCAAUUGCUUAUCAAAUUUUUAUGGAACCUUGGUUUAAAAAAUGAAGUGGAUUGGGACUGAUUUCAUGGUACUAAGCUUUUGGAAAGAAAGAAAAUGGUGAGAUGGCAGAUUUGCUUUGGGAAUUUCACGAACUUUGAUUAUUUUGUUAACUGCCUUCCCACAUGAGUUUUCACAUGAAAUUUUGGUAGAGAUAUAGUUAACAUAUGGAAGAUUUAGUGUACCAAAUUUGGUGUAUUUUCAAUGCCAUUUCAAUGGCUAAAUGAUACUUCAAAGAUAGCUUUUCAAAUCUGGAAAAUGACUGAACAGUUAGCAAAAUGUGACCAACUUUGAACUGAUGUAUCUCGAUGCUCGAAACUCCGAAUUUAGUUUUGUUUGUUGUGUUUGAAACUUUGUUUAGAACUCUUAUUGUGUUACAAAUUUCAGAGGCUAGUUCACUUUCUGUGAAUUUUACCGAAUUUCCAAAGUUUGCCAAAAAACAUGACCGAAACUGUCUUGUAAGCUCAAGUCAGCCACUUUGAGAUGAAAUUUGAAUGUCUUCCGUUUAGAAUCUUAGAAAAGUGUUUUCUAGGAACUUUUAGUACUCUAAACCAAGAUUCCAACAGUAUAAAGUUUUCCAUUUUUGGACUUACGAAACUCUAGAUACGAUUUUUCAAAAUAAUGUCCCUCUAGAAUGGAAAAUUUCUGUUUUCAACCAAAUUACUCCUUUAAGAACUUUCCACCAUCCUUUGUGAUUGUUGGACUGUUUUAAGUUUUUUUUCAUGGUUUAAUACAAGGUCUCUUUGGAACUUUGAACUUUCAUUUCAAAUCUUGGUUUCCGAAGGAUAAACCUCUCUUGAUGCAUUUACUUGGUCAUAUAACUCCCUUGGUUAAUGGUACUUCUCUUCAUAUUUAAAUUAGGGACUUCAUGAUACGUAUCUCGUUGGUGACGAAGAUUCGCGACCCAAGAUCGCUUGUUGGAUUUGUGAUUGACGACCAAGGAAGGUAGCAGUGGAAACCCUACGACCCCUCUAAUCCCCGUGACUACGAACUUAUUGAUAUUAUCUCAACCCGUAAUCAAACGAAUUAGUGAACCUCAGGAAAGUGUAGAAGGCGCCACAACUCAAGUGUGAUUCUUGAAGUGAUAAGCCAACAAGAACACUAGAGUAUAACUCUAAGUUGUUCAAGGGAUACUCGAAAGCUAUAGAGAAAAUUAUCUCACUUGAUUUAUGAUAAAAGUGUCUUCCCUUUUAUUGAUGUAUUAUGGCCCCUUAUAUAGGGUACAAGUAGUACCUAAUCUGAUAAGGAAAGUAAAGCUAAAGGUACGGCUGGUAUGGGUCCUAACUAGUGAAGGAAACGGAAAUGGAAACGAUGGCCUCAACCCUCAACAGAUAGGGCUUCAUGCGGGCUUUCCUUCCUAGGCAACCCACCUUAACAUAUAGUGAUGAACAAAAUAGCAAUCCUACUCUUGGCGAUUCUAUGUGCAACAUGCACUUAGCCAAUUAUUCAACCUAAUCAAACUAACACGUAAAUAAAUGAAACUAUUGUAAUAGGAAACGAGGUUUGGCAAAACCCUAAACCUCUGGUAUAGCUUCAAUGCUCAAUACCGGACCUCGAUCACCUUCACUGGAGUGUAUGAAUCCCUCAAAGGACUUGUGUAUGGCCUGUACAAGUACAUUGAGUUGCUCACGAAAUCUCUUUGCACGAGCCCUAGUGAUGGGCCCGUUUGGAGCUUGCACGCGGUCCUCGGCCCCUCGAUCACUCGAGCCAUUGUUGGCGUGCCCAUGUACUAUGAUGCUAUCAUUCCCCUCCUCUUGAGAAGGAUUUGCCCUCAAAUCAAAAGCUUCAUCUGCAUCAAAAGAAGCUAGGUCAGAGACAUUAAAUGUAGCACUAACUCCAUACUCACCUGGAAGAUUAAGUUUGUAAGCGUUGUCAUUAAUGCGCUCCAACACUUGAAAAGGUCCAUCACCCCGUGGUUGUAGUUUAUUUCGCCUUUGCAUAGGGAAACGUUCCUUGCGCAUGUGCAACCACACCCAAUCGCCAGGUUCGAAAGUCAGUUUUUGGCGACCUUUGUUAGCUUGCUUGACAUAUUGAGCAGUUCUCCUCUCAAUGUUGGCCCUGACUUUCUCAUGAAGUUGCUUAACAAAAUCUACACGUUUCUUACCAUCCAAGUGUGCGCGCUCAUUACUAGGUAAUGGCACUAGAUCAAGAGGUAUUAGAUGAUUAAAACCAUAAACACAUUCAAAUGGAAAGAAACCAGUAGUAGAAUGGACAGCCCUAUUAUAAGCAAACUCAACAUGAGGUAAACAUUCUUUCCAUGUUUUCAAGUUCUUUUUUAUGAUGGCACGCAACAAGGUACCUAAUGUACGAUUCACCACCUCAGUUUGACCAUCAGUUUGGGGGUGGCUAGCAGUAGAGAAUAGCAAUUUGGUGCCUAACUUAGACCAGAGUGUCUUCCAAAAAUAGUUGAGAAAUUUGACAUCUCUAUCAGGAACAAUGGUCCUAGGAAUGUCAUGCAGUCGCACAAUCUCUUUAAAGAACAAGUGAGCAAUAUGGGAUGCAUCAUCCGUUUUGUGACAAGCAAUGAAGUGUGCCAUCUUAGAGAAUCUAUCAACUACCACAUAAAUGGAGUCAUGGCCAAACUUGGAUCUAGGCAACCCGAGUAUAAAAUCCAUAGAAAUGUCAAUCCAUGGUACUCUAGAAAUAGGUAAUGGGGUGUAAAGGCCAUAAGGGUGUACCUUGGAUUUAACUCUCUUACACGCUAAGCAGCGCUCCACCACCCGUGCAACAUCUCUCCUCAUGUGCAGCCAAUAGAAAUGUUCCUGCAGCAUGGCAAGAGUUUUAUCAACCCCAAAGUGCCCUAUAAGUCCACCCGAAUGGGAUUCCCUUACCAAAAGCUCACGGAUUGAUCCAUGUGGGAUGCAAAGCCGAUUGGCACAGAACAAGUACCCAUCAGAAAUGAAGAACUUAUCUUGCCCGGUGUGUUUGCAAGAAAUGUAUAGCUCAUCGAAGUCACUAUCUUAUGCAUAGAGCUCUUUAAUUAGCUCAAAUCCCAACAACUUAACAUCUAAAGAAGUGAUUAGACAGUACCUUCGUGAGAGUGCAUCCACGAUCACAUUGGACUUACCAGCCUUGUAUUUAAUAACGUACGGAAAUGGCUCCACGAAUGCAAUCCACCUUGCAUGCUUCUUGCUCAAGUUGUGUUGGGCCUUAAGGUACUUAAGGGACUCAUGAUCAGUGUGUAUCACGAAUUCCUUAGGCCUUAAGUAAUGCUACCACACUUGUAGUGCUCGAAUGAGGACAUACAACUCUUUAUCAUAAGUUGAGUAAUUCAGUGCAGCCCAUUGAGUUUCUCACUAAAGUAGGCAAUAGGUUGUUCACCUUGGUUCAACACAGCUCCAACUCCAAUACCUGAAGCAUCACAAUCGAUCUCAAAUGUUUUAGAGAAAUCAGGUAACGCAAGUACAGGUGCGUGUGUGAGUUUGUGCUUUAAAGCGGUAAAAGCCUUUUCUUGAGAAUCUCCCCAGCGAAAAUUCUCAUUCUUCUUGAUCAAUUCGGCCAAGGGUGUAGUAAUGGUGCUAAAGUCCCUCACGAAUCUCCUAUAAAAACCCGCAACUCCAUGGAAACUUCAAACAUCACCCACAGACCUUGGUGUUGGCCACUCUUGAAUAGCUUUCACCUUUUGAUCAUCCACCUUCAUUCCCUGCGCACUUAUAACAAACCCUAGAAACACAAGCUCAUUAGAGCAAAAAUUGCACUUCUUGAGAUUGACAUAAAGCUUCUCUCAUUGAAGUACAUCCAUAACCGCCCUAAUAUGCUCAAGGUGUUCAUCGUAAGACUUGCUAUAUAUUAGGAUAUCAUCAAAGUAAAUUACCACAAAUUUUCCCAAGAAUGGACGUAGCACAUGAUUCAUUAAUCUCAUGAAAGUAUUAGGUGCAUUAGUGAGCCCAAAAGGCAUCACUAACCAUUCAUACAAUCCAUACUUAGUUUCGAAAGUAGUUUUCCAUUCAUCCCCCUCUUUAAUCCUAAGUUGAUGGUACCCACUUUUGACAUCAAUUUUGGUAAAGAACACAGUCCCAUGUAACUCAUCAAGCAUAUAAUCUAAGCGAGGUAUAGGGUGACGAUACUUUACCAUGAUGGCAUUUACAGCUCUACAGUCGGUACACAUCCUUCACGUACCAUCUUUCUUAGGCACUAAAAUGACUGGGACAGCAUACGAGCUCAAACUCUCACGUGCCCAUCCCUUGCCAAGCAACUCAUCCACUUGCCUUUGCAACUCCUUGGUCUUCUCCGGGUUGCUCUUGUAAGUUGGUCGGUUUGGCAAUGAAACUCCAGGGAUGAAAUCAAUUUGAUGCUCAAUGUCUCGGAGUGGGGGCAAUCCACUUGGCACAUCCUCGGGGAAGAUAUCCGCAUACUCCUGCAGAAGAGACACAACCUCAGGAGGUAUGUUAGUAUCAAGUUCAUGCACCUUCAGAGCUACUUCUUUGCUAACAAGCAUAAGAAGCGGCUGCUCAUCUCUCAUUAACUUCCUCACUAUCUUGGCUUUUAUCAGAAGCAUUUGUUUUCUCUCGGAUUUCACCUCACUUGCCAAGCUAUCUAUAGCCUUUUUCAUCUCUUUUUUUGCCCUGGCGCUCACGUUUUCUUUCUUUUUUGCACAAUACUUCUCAUACUGUUGUUGCAAUUUCAAUUGGUUUUCAUGCACUUGUUUUGGGGAAAGGGGAGCUAGGGUGACUUUCUUACUAUUGUACAAGAACCUAUACUUGUUAGUCACACAAUCAAAAGUUACAUGCCUGUCAAACUGCCACGGCCUACCUAGUAUAAUAUGACUAGCUUGCAUAGGAACUAUGUCACAUAAUACAUCAUCAGAAUAUUUAUGAAUUUGGAAGGAUAUAAGAACCUGUUUGGUUACUCGAACCUCCCCAGAAUUGUUGAGCCACUAGAGUUUGUAGGGUCGCGGGUGAUCCCUUGUAGGCAGUUUCAAGUGGUCCACCAUGAGUGAACUAGCUACAUUUGUGCAACUCCUACUAUCAAUAAUCACACUACAAAGUGCUUGGUUGACGAAGCACCUGGUGUAGAAAAUGUUCUCCCGUUGAAGCUUUUCCUCCUUAACACGUGUAGUUAAUGCUCUCCUUGCAACCAAUGCGGUCCCAAAGUGACCUUCGGGUGCAUUAAAUUCCUCUUUAUUUGGUGACUCGCUAUCACUACCUCCUUCAAGUGGUGGCAUGCCAUCGUACUCGGCUUCAUCUUCACUCACGAUCUCGCCAUUUUGCAGCAUAAUCAUAGUCCUUUGGUUGGAGCAUUGACUAGCGAUAUGGCCUCUACCAUGGCAUUUGAAGCAUCGAGUAUCACGAGCUCUAGUUUGUGCCCUAGGCUCCUCAAAUUUCGGAAUAGAAGAGGGUGGUUUUCCGACAUUAGAAUGACCCAUUUACCUCCCUUGAAUCUCGGCUUUGGUGUAGGAGCAUUUGGUGAAGGCCGAGAAUCAUUCCUUGGUUGGAAUGAGCGGUGGGUAGAGUAGGUGGUAUUGCUGAAAUUCGGCCGAGUAGUACCCCUCCUCUUGAGCCUGUGUUCGACCUUAAUGGCCUUGUCAACAAGCUCAUACAAUUCCAUAUAAUGUUGAAGUUCCACUCGUUCAGCAAUAUCGGGUCUUAACCCGUUCAAGAACCUGGCCAUGGUGGCUUCGGGAUCCUCUUGUACAUCUGCUCUAAGCAUCAAGAUCUCCAUCUCCUUAUGGUACUCAUCCACACCCCAGUUGCCUUGGACUAAGGUUUGUAAUCCGUAGUACAAAUCCCUAGUGUAGUGUCCAGGAACAAAUCUGGUGCGCAUCAUGGUUUGAAGUUCGGGCCAUGGAAUGAGCUCGGGUAGCCCGCUUCUCCUUCUUGACUUCUUGAUUUGGUCCCACCAAACCACGGCGUACUCGGUGAAUUCCAUGGUUCCCAAUUGCACCUUUUGCUCCUCGGUGUAGUCUUGGCAAGCAAAGACCAUUUCGAUCUUGGAUAAUCAUUCGAGAAAGGCCUCGGGAUCGGACCGUCCUUUGAAUUCAGGGAUUUUCAUUUUGAUUCCCUUGAACACAUCGGUAGGUCCAGUCUGGUGCCUUUGCCUUGGUCGAGUGCGAGGUUCCUCGUCGUCAUCAUCAUGAUUGGAACCAUCGGACUCCUCCACGUCCCUUCGCCUUCGCGUGGACUUAGAAGUUUUUGGUGUUCUAGAUGCCCGGAAUUGCAGCAACUCAUCUUGAAUUGGUUCUAGCAUGCGUUGGAAAUGCCUCUCCAUUUUCUCCAUCAUCUUGUCAAAGUCCAUAGGGCGGGAUACUCCUUCGUUUCCACUAGACAUGGAGUCUCGAGUGUACCUGCAAGGGUUAGUAGCAAAGAAAAAGGAAAAAGGAAAAGAAGCGUUUGUCUUAUUUUUUUUUCACCUUACUCCCUAAGUGUAUACUCUCACACUCGUAUAUGGUUACUCAGAUCACUCUAAUGAGCCCCUUGCAAAUUUUCUCACAGCCCCUUGCAAAACCUUGAAGAAAUUAGAAUUCCUCAAGUGCUCAAAUUUAGCUUAAAAAAAACAAGUUCAUGCUAGAAUUUGAGGUUCAUAAGAGUGGAGAUUUUCUUGAAAAACAAAAUUAGAACACUAAGAAUGGAGUGGUAGAAUAUAUUCAAGAAUAAGAAUUAGAAAAAGAAUUGACACAGAAGCUCCAAAAAAUUCAGAAUGACACUCAAGGACCCUAACCGACAAGGAAGUUGGUCCUUGUGCCUUGCUAGAUUUCUUGGUCCGUUUAAUUCUUGUUCUAGCCGACUAUAGGUGCUGGAUCCUUUUGUUUUGCAGAGGUGCGGAUAAAGCCUAGGUGCCAAUAUGGGCAAGUGGGGGCUACAAAUCAGGAAGCAAGAAGAAUUUGGAAUCCCUUUGGUUUUAGAGACCAAUCAGGUUUGGAAGUCCUAUAGCGGCUGUUCCCUCUUUCUUUUCUAGAUGUGCAGCCGAGUGGGUUCCUCUUCCCAAGUGUUUUAGGAGUGCACAAAGGCUGGGAUAUUUGGUGAAUUAAAUUCAGCUCUCUCUCUGGCUGUUCAACUCACAAGCGUCAAACACCACAAUCCGGAUGAAGUUGCAAAACCCAGGUGAUACUCAAGUUCCUCCACGGGCUCCCCCCCUUCGCGUUACCCAAAAACCUCCCAAGAAAAGUUCAAGAGCUCCUCGAAGACCCUUUACAGAUGCUCGAGAGUAUUUCAAGUUGUUCAAGAAGCGCAAGGCUCAAGUUUUCAAGGGUCAAGAAUCUCAAGAAACUCAAGAAGUUGUUGAUCAGAAUUUUUGAAUGUAGAAUAGGCUCAAUGUAACCUGCAAGUGAUUCCCAACAACGCUCUAGUUGCUUGUUUGAGUUUCCCAAUUCAAUAAAAGUAUUCAAGCACCCUUUGUUUCGAAAUUUGCUUGCUUUUUUUUUUUUUUACAGCAGCAACUUCGGAUGAACGAAGGCUUGGGUUAUCAAUUUUUUUCCAGGACUGUGUCGAGUUUUGUCCAGGUCUGUUUUGGUGGAUUUUUUUGCAAUUGGGUAGGCUAGGUUUGGUUCACAAAUGGGUCAAGAAUGGCUCCAGGUAUCGACCAGCCUUUAACAAUCAAGAAUUGUAAAUCAAACACAAAAAUAUCCAGCAAAGAACUUCAGGAAGUUCGCUGCAAUUUCUAGAUUUCAGAGUGUCAAGAAUCUCUUCAAGAACUUCAAGAAAUCGUGAAGUUUGCUUACGAAGUUCAAGAACAAGGUACCAAUACUUUCCUAGACAAUGAACAACUAAGACACAGAGCACAAACAAUUAAGAGACAACUCGGUCAGAUUGGUCAGUGCAAGAAAACAAUGUCAAGUGUGGCAAAGACAGCAAUCCGAAUGACUCUAUGUCUUGUUGUACGACUUGGACACAACUUUCAACACCGUUGGACACCUUGGUUUGUUGGACCCAAGCGGUGGAAGUAACGUCAGCAAGACACGACCAGAUUUAACACACAAGACUCAAUAGGAAUUGGCAAUAAUAGGACACGGACAGAUUGCACAAGAUUCAAUAGAAACAGCAAUACGGGCGCGACACUAAGAACACUAGUAGUUUGGUUUUGUUUGUUUUUUUUUUUAGUUAACAAAUGAUGGAAUCACACACCACCAAACCCAAACACAACACACUUGACUCCCAGAAAUUCCAGAAGUCAAAACGACAACAAGACAGACUUAAAAACACGCUGACCAGAAUUGAAAGCAACACGGAAAAACUUGUGGACAGUUUGCAGUUGUGGAAACAGAAUUUUAACUAACGAGAAGGAUAAAACGAUGUUACCAACAAUUUAGCUCUGAUGCCAGCUGAUACGAAUCUCAUUGGUGACGAAGAUUCGCGACCCAAGAUCGCUUGUUGAAUUUGUGAUUGACGACCAAGGAAGGUAGCAGCGAAAACCCUACGACCCCUCUAAUCCCCGUGACUACGAACUUGUUGAUAUUAUCUCAACCCAUAAUCAAACGAAUUAGUGAACCUCAGACAAGUGUAGAAGGCGCCACAACUCAAGUGUGAUAAGCCAACAAGAACACUAGAGUAUAACUCUAAGUUGUUCAAGGGAUGCUCGAAAGUUAUAGAGAAAAUUAUCUCACUUGAUUUAUGAUAAAAGUGUCUUCCCUUUUAUUGAUGUAUUAUGACCCCUUAUAUAGGGUACAAGUAAUACCUAAUCUGAUAAGGAAAGUAAAGCUAAAGGUACGGCUAGUAUGGGCCCUAACUAGUGAAGGAAACGGAAAAGGAAACGACGGCCUCAACCUUCGACGGAUAGGGCUUCAUGCGGGCUUUCCUUCCUAGGCAGCCCACCUUAACAUAUAGUCAUGAACAAAAUAGCAAUCCUACUCUUGGCAAUUCUAUGUGCAACAUGCACUUAGCCAAUUAUUCAACCUAAUCAAACAACACGUAAAUAAAUGAAACUACUAAAAUGGGAAACGAGGUUUGGCAAAACCCUAAACCUGUGGUAUAGCUUCAAUGCUCAAUACCGGACCUCAAUCACCUUCAUUGGAGUGUAUAAAUCCCUCAAAGGACUUGUGUAUGGCCUGUACAAGUACAUUGAGUUGCUCACGAAAUCUCUUUGCACGAGCCCUAGUGAUGGGCCCGUUUGGAGCUUGCACGCGGUCGUCGGCCCCUCGAUCACUUGAGCCAUUGUUGGCAUGCCCACGUAAUAUGAUGCUAUCACUUCAACCCCUAUUCUUAUGGCCUUGGUAAUUGUACUAGAGUUGGCAAUCAUACAAGUAUUUUAAAAGAAUGAUUUGAAAGGUUUCUUGUGAACGUAAUUAGUAACACUCGGAAUGUUUUGGCCGAGCUUCCAAGUAAAAAUGUGUUUAUCUUUUUUAUUUGAAAGCCAAAGUUUCUAUCGCCAUAGUCUCUUGAGUAUACGCCCUCGAUUUAAUCGUUGAAAAUGGAUGUUGAGUGAGACUUUAAUUAAAAGAGAACUUGAGAAUUUUACUUGAUUUAUGGGUACAACUUGAAUUGGUGACUAAAGAAGUUAGUGGGCCGUUAGUGGCGGUUUUACUAGACUUUAACUAAAUGAGUUUGAAAAAUGAGAAAAGCUCACUUAUACUUGAAACUUGGGUGUUCAACUAGGGAAUUUUGACAAGAAACUAAUCCUCCGUCUUUCUUGGUUUUCGUGCCAAAACUUAGAGAUCUGUUUAAUCUUCAACUUGGAGAAUUUUGGACAUGACUUGACUUGGAUUAAUAUAUUUUUGGAUAUUUUCAAAUGCUACCCUCGUGGAUUAAGUUAUUAAGUGAUAUUUGUAUUCGAUUUGAACGCGUUAUCUCUUAAGUGAGAGUAGCGGGAAUACUACUAGACCUUGGUUGAAUACCUAGGUGAAUUGUAAUUGUACAUGUCUCAGGUGAUCAAGAGGAUCCCGAGGAACUCGUUUGAUCUUGCCUCGCUCUUGUUUUACACUCUUGAUUCCAGUGAGUGCUCCUUAUAGGUGUACGUGAUUUGAAUAGUUUUGCUACAUGUUUACUUCAUAGUUAUUGUGUACUUAAGUGUUAAGUGUACCCUAUAAUUGCUCUUAUGUAACUGUCCACCGUUUUAAGGCGAGUGUGUACUUUAUCUCAUUCGACCUACUAAAAUGACAAAUUUCUAUCGUUUAACCGUAAAUUUCUACUGUUAACCGUGAACUACUAUCGUUUACCGAUUUACUUGAUUACUUACGCAUGUUGUAAGCUCUAAGUUGAACUGGAUCUUGCCCUUGGUUACUAACCUGCUCAAGUCAGGACUGGGCUCGGUCGGGUAGGUUGGAACCCUGGGCCACCGUUUCGGUAUACUUGAGUAUUACCACUGGAGGGAUAAGGUGAUAGCCAGACAAAUCAAGGGGAUCACUGGAGUUAUAAGGUGAAGUGGACUAAAAUUGUUCCAAGUGAACACCGUAUCCUUUCAAUGUGUGUUUAUUUCUAUACAAUGAUAACUGUUUCAUUCUAAUGUGCCAAUGUGAAACCUUGAACCAUACAUGUGUUAUGCUCAAUUUACUUGAUUUAUUAGAACUGCUAGUGUAGUUUGGAACCUCACUGGGCUGUUUAACUCAUUUCACGCUUUUGUUUUCCUUAACAGGGUUCAAAAUCGAGAGUACUCGCUAAUAGUACUAAGUUGUUCUCUUGGAAAUUUUAAGUUGUAUUAUGGCAGAUGACUGUAGUACAUAUUGUGAGGAUCCGAAAAUUUUCUUAUUUUCGUCAUAUAUUACUGAUUUAUUUAAAUAGUUAUUCACUCAUUUUCUCCGAAUUAUUUAAUUCGACUACUUAAAAUCCAUUUAUAUGGAAAAAAUGCCUCUCUUAUGUUUUUAAAGCGUUUUGUUAGAAAAUUUAUUUUUCGAAAACUCGUUUAGUUCGGAACAACGAGUGCACGUUUCUCGAGACUAUAUUUGAAUCGAGAGUGUAUUAAUUUUGGAGAAGUAAGAAUGAUCAAUAGUAGAUUAAGAAAAAUUAAUUGGAGAUUUGAGGAAUUAAAACUCGACUUAUGUGAGGACUCGCAAAAUUUUCUAUUUUAAACCCUUAUUACUAGCUUAUUUCAAUCUUUAAUUGCCCGUUUGCCUCGAAUAUUUUAUUUCAACCUCUUUAUACUCAAUUACAUGGAACUAUGACUUAGUUAUAUUUUUAAAGUAACUCGUUUCAAAAUUUAAUUUUUGGAAGCUCAUUAAUUGAAAAUAGUGAAUACGCGAUUGGAGUCAAUAAUCGAUUCGUGUAUACAAUAAACUUGGAAAAUUAGAGACUUGCAGCAUGGGCUAAAGAUAGGUAUUUUAAGUUUAAAUACUCAAGUGAUAGUUAUUAGUACUAUCGUUAUAAGAAUUUCUUGGAAGUUUCGCUUUAUCGCGCUUAAUUUGGAGAUACGUGUUUUUAUACGCGCGAUUUAAUUGAGGGACUUUAGACCCUUAUUUUGGGACAAUUAAGAGUGAAUAAUAUUAAUAUGUAUAUGAGUGCAUUAAAGGUUUAGUGCACUAGUGAAAUAAACUCGAGAGGAAUCGAGCACAAAACGCGCGCGUAUACGCGCGAAGAAGAGUUGACUUUUGCACCAACUUGGGCCACACAUUAAAGGUUCUUAAGAAAGCUUUAUUUGAUCAACACACACUCUCUCUCCUAGUCUCUCUUGGCCGGCCAUCAAGCAGCAAAAAUAACCCAUUUGCUCUUCAACUUUCUACUCCAAAUUCUUGCACCAAAUCUCAACCAAAUCAAACCAAAAUUGAACUACACUUAGCCUAAUACUUGGAGAUUGUAUCUAGCUAAAAAGGGGGAGCUUUUCACGGUUUAUUUUGAAGCAAGGAGGGCCAAAAUUUCUUCUCUUGUGCACCAAGUGGAAUAGGUAACGAUCAACUCUCAAAUUCUUGUUUUAUGGAAGUAGUAAUGCACAUCUAAGCUAUUGUAUGCAUGUGGGCAGUCUUGUUUAUGGUGGAUUCUUGUUGUGUGGGCUCUAUGAACUCCCACUUUUGAUGGAAAGACUGAUUUAAUGAUUGAUGAUGAAAUUAAUGGUGGUUUAGUGCUUAAAUUAGUGGAUUAAUGUUGUAUUGUUGGUAGAAAAUCAAAGGAGGUGCUUGGAGCAAAAGUGACCGUUUUACCCCUGCCUUGUUCGACCACUUUUGUGCAAAAUUUUGAGGUUCUAAUGGCUUUUUUAUGUUGUUUACAUGUUAUAUAGAGUGUGUAAAAAGUUUCAUUGAAAAAUAACUUGAUUUGGUCACCCAAAUGUUGGAUUUACGAAAGCUUAGAAAUCUGGAAACUAUUCCCGUAUUCAUCCAGGCAGUGUUUUUGUUUCCGCUAUAACUCAUCGCUCCGAUGUCGGAAUCAAGUGUCGUUUGCGGCACUGGAAACUAGACAUUCCCAGAUUUCAUUUGGUAUAAAAUUCACGUUCUGGUUCCACUCGAGUGAGCCAAACCAUUCGUUUGAAAAUUUCUGUCCUGUUUCGUUUGUCACUGGGAGGCAGAUUAUGAACUGCGAUUUGAUGCUCACGUAUGAGCUGGUUAUGGACAGAUUUUGAAAAUGGUUUCUUCUGAAAGAAUGUAGCCUUAUGAAUCUAUCUUCCAAUGCCACCAACCACGCUCAAUUCCGAGUUGAAUUGAGUGAUUUAUGAUCAAAAUUCGAAACUGGUUUUGUGAAGGAAAACCAUGCAUUUGGACAGAUUUGAAACUAGCGAUGCUUUGGGACUUGUUAUCGGAAACUUCUUGGUGUAAAUCCCCUAUCAAAUGUACCUUGGGCAUAUUUUAGACAUUAUCUACUGGAAUGGACCAUAUUUGAGAUGUUUCUUGGCCGACUGUUUGAAAACGGCAAAACGAAAGUUCAAAGGCAGCUUAGCCUUAGAACUUCUUGUGAUUUCAACGGUCUCGUUAACUGAUUUUCCGUACAUAUUUUUCUAUGAAAUUUGGCAAGGGAGUGGCCAUUAUAUGGUAGUAUAUUCAUCCUAAAUUUGGUGCCAUUUCGAGUCCAUUUCGUUGCUCAACUAAACUUCCAAAGUUCAUGAUUUGAGUUGAAAAUUUUAGUAACUUUGAGUUACCAUAUCUUGGUGCUCAAAACUCCGAAUCUUGUUCCGUUUGUUUUGUUUUAAACUUGGAUUGAAACUCUAAUAGUGCUCCAAAUUUCAGAGGUUAGUUCGGAUCAAGUGAAUUUUGUCAAAUUUUCAAAGUUGGCCAAACACCAACCUAAAUCUGUCUUUAAUGCCCCAGAACAGCAAUUUUGAGCUAAAUUUUGGAUAUCUUCCGUUUGGAAUCAUGGAAAAUUGUCUUCUAAGAACUUUUAGUACUUUUUAAGAGGUUUCCAACGGUACCAAGUUUUCCAAUUCUGGACUUAUAGAGAAUGAGAUACGUUUUUUCAAAGUAUGGGUGACAAAUCUGAUAUUUUUGAACUUAAAGGAAAUUGAGGGUUACGAACUCUCUAUUUUCCUUCAAUAUUGCUAAACCGUUUUACACUUGAUUUCAAAAUGAAAAUCAGAUUUCACUUGUGUUUUAAAACCCCAUUUUUGAGUCUCGAUUUACGAGUAAUUAAGGCUCAUUUUCGUGAAAUUUUCUUAGAUUGUACAAGUGUGCAAUCUUCCUUGAUAAUUAGGGGUUUUAAGCGAUAGUGUGUAAUAGACAAUUACUAUUUGCUCAGUUGCUCAAGGAGACCUUCAAGAGGAUCUCGAGGGGAACACCUAAAGGCUCGUCUAUGCACUUACUCCCUUGUUUCGAUUGGUGAGUGUCAAGUGCAUGAAUUUGUUGCUAAGUGAUUAACUGUUUCUUAUCCGUUAUAUGAAUUUGAACUUUGUGAGACGAAUGUGUACUUUCCCGCACUCGUUCUCCUUCAAAUGAAAUUAUAUUCGUAUUUGGCUAUGUGAAUUCAUAUUCGACUUGUACUUAGUAAUGUGGAUAUGAUUCGUAUUUGUGAUUCGUAUAUGUGAUUCGUAUUUGUGAUUGCUAUUUGGAAUCGUCGAUUUGAGUGUUGCUCAUCGACUUAUAUUCGCAUUCGUAUUCGUAUUCGGGGGACGCCCAAACUCGUUGGCUAAUUUUGCAAAUCGAGCCAGCAUGGGUUUGGUCAAUAAGCUUAGCAAACCAUGAGAUAUUCGUAGAGCAUGAUCUAUUGGAGAGAUCUUGCUCGGCAUUACUCGUGCAGUAUUGUCAUGAUAUACUCGAGUAUUAUCAAAAAAUUUGAUGAGCGGGUCCGGUAAGGGGGUGUAACGGUGAUGGGAUUCGAAGAAAAGUGGUGUAUCUACGGAUUUGAUACUUAUGUGGUUGACGAAGUGUCAACAUGAAUUGUGAUCAAGACUUUGACUCGACUACGUGGAAUUUAACUCCUGAGAGCUACAGUAUCCUUGAACUGUUUCUGUUUAUUUUUCCUAUUCGAAAUGUGAAUUAUUCGAACUUGAUAGCUUUACUUACAAUGUAAUUGUUGUUACUUCUUGGAUUAUGUGUUUGCAUGUGUGUUUCUUGGCCUCACUGAGUAUUGGCUCAUCCCAUUAGUUUGUUUUCCUUAACAGGAACUCGUUUGGAAGGAGUUAAGCAAAUGCUGACUUGAGGCACUUUUGUAUUAGUGUUUUAAUUGUAAUCGACUAGACACUUUUGAAUGUUGUAUAUAUUUGGGAAUUGAUGUAUCUUUUGGAUCCUGAUGUAGGAAUUGGGUAACUGAUGUAUUUUGAACUCGUGGUGCAAGACUUGGAUAUUCGAUUAUAGAAGCGACUUUUCCUUAUUAGACUAGUAUAAAUUGUUAUAUAUUGUUAAGUUUGAAUCGAUUUGUCUCGAGUCAUGGCGAGAGCUGGGCAGGCGUUCCCCGGAUACCCUUGGAUUCGCCCUUGGGAGAAGUGGGGGCGUCACACAUAUUCUUUUGGAUUGUAUUUAACCUUGAAAAUUGAGGUAAUUUUGAUAACUUGUGAUGUAAGAUUUGAAAGUUUAUUUAAGGGAGAGAUUUUUCUUAAUUUGAAUUUUAUUAUAGGUUGUGUACUUUUGUCACGCCCCGAGCCCGCACGUGCCCGUCACAUGACACCCGCCGUACUC